This 51852-nucleotide long non-coding RNA is filed under the name Coffea arabica (coffee). RNAcentral's name for it is "long non-coding RNA (CARA_LNC004091)". The record is from RNAcentral. Lineage: Eukaryota; Viridiplantae; Streptophyta; Magnoliopsida; Gentianales; Rubiaceae.
CUCCCAUAGGACUCCUUCUGACCACAAUUCUCUCUCUUUCUCAAAAGCCUCACCCGACCGUCACGCCAGCUACUUCAACAUCACCCACGUUCUCACCAAGCCCAGCUGUCCCUUCCCUGCCCACCUAUAAAUAUCCCCCGCCCGUCACUUCGCUUUCCUCCGCCCCCAAAGGAAAACCCUUCUCCUUGAGCUUGAAGAAGAAAACUCGAAUCAGCAGCACACAACUUUUUGGUAACAACCAAAUGGCGGAAGUUAGCAUUGCGAAGGCUUUGGUGAUGAUGGUGGUCGUUUUGAUGGCCGUCGUGGCAGCAGCAUCAGCACAGGAGUCUCCCUCGCCGUCGCCUGAUGCCGGAGCAGGGUUUUCUUUGCCGGUUUCCGGUGCUAUGGUUGCGGUCUCUCUGGUGCUCUCCUCCGUCGCCUUGUUGAGGCAUUAUUGAGUUGAUCUUCUUAUUAUUUAUGUAUUAUUAUUUGCAUCCAUUCCCCAUGCUUGCGCUGGGGAAUUAUUAGAGGGGAAUUUGUUCUGUUUUGUAAUUUUUUGGAGUGAUUAUUUGUGAGUGUGGUUUGGUGGUCCCAUUGGAUUGUUUUUCCAUCAGAAUAUAAUAAAAUUCUUUUACUGCUUUACUUUUAGUGUAAUGGUUUAAUUUGCCAAAUUAAGUUUAAAUCUUUUGAGUCAUGGCCAAAAAAUAAAAAAAAAAAAGGGAAAAGUUAAAUAGCAAAAAUAGGACACUGUAAAUUCGUGGCUUUGGUUGUUCAAUAAAGUAUUCAAUGCUCGUUAGCUAAUUCAUUGGUUGUUUAAUAAAGUGUUCAACCUUCGUAGUAGUUCUUUACCUAAUUUCAUCUGGGAAGAUUUUUUUUUUUUUUCAGUCCAUAAUUUGUUCAUCGCAAUAGCGACGACAAUCUACGAGUUAAAGAGAAAAGUGUUGGAUUGCGUGGUAAGACAUGUGAAUGAGGUCAUUGAGAUCUAGCUAAGAAGGGUUGAAAAAAAGCCCUUAGUUGGAUUACAUGGGAAAGAAAUUUCUCAAUUUCUGUGGAAAUAUGAUCAACACCCUAUAAACUUAAGAUUCACCCCAGAACACAUCUAUUAUCAUGUAUGAUGAUGCCCCAUGUCUUCAAUCUAGCAAGUUAAAGAGGCAAAUCUAGGAAAACACGCCUUUGAAUUUAGACUAAGGUCGCAUUUGAUAAAAGUGAAAUUUGAAAUUUGAAUUCAUUAAAUUAUUGAAUUGUUAAGUAUUAAAUUUAAUGCAUUUAAAUGUAUAUCACAAGUUUGGCUUAUCACUUAAUUUGGUUUAGUGAAUAGUUUAUCACUUAAUUUUGAGAGUAAGUUUGGUUUAGAAAAUUCAGUGCUGUUCAAUUAAUUCAAAUGUUCAGUUUUUUAUUAUGAAACGAUUUGAAUAUAUUAAGAUCUAAAUCUAUUAAAUUUAAUGUUGAACUGAGUUAUCAAACAGGAUCUAAGCCAAGCAGAUUGUUUUAAGUGUAUAAUUAGCAGGUUAAUGAGCACAUGACCAUUUCUGGCCAUAUUGCGUAGAAAAGUAUCUCAAGUAGCUAUAAUUUGGCCCACAAAUUUCUUCUCUUGCCUUGGGCCAUCUCCAAAUGUACGUGCAUUCUUGUUAGAAGCUGCUUAGGCCAGUAGAGAACUGCCAAAUUAAGCAUAGACUUCAUAGGGUUGAUUUAUUUAUUUGGGUCAAACGGACUAUAGAGGAUUGAUAGGUCUCUAAUUAACACCCUAAACCCCAAAGGAAUGCCAUAGGUCAUACAUACAUCACAUAUUGACAACGUUACCAUAGCCAAUGGCAGAUUAAUCCAGAAUCAAGGGUGUAGAAUUCAAUAAUCUCAUUUGAACUCACAAAUAAAAAUCAUGUUUAACUAACAACUUUUAGUUAGAAAAAAAAAAAGAAAAAUGCCAAAAGAGGCAUGGUUUAGAAAAUUAUGGUAAGCACUAAGACUUUUCCAUCUUUCCCAUCGUAUGCUUUAAGCAAGCAUAAAAAACAUCUUAAAAGAUUUGAAUUGCGAAGGAGCUUGAGGGCAAUUGUAGGCACAUAUUAAAAGUUUGAAAUAAGGGAUAAUUGCAGAAACCUCUCUUGAGGUUUCUGACAUUUGCACUGACCUCCCUUGUAAUUUAAAAAAUUACACUGACCUCCCCUGAUGUUACUAAUCAUUUGCAAAUUUAGUCCAAACGAUUAAAAUAUUAUUUUAGAGAGUGAAAUUAGAAUUUUGUACUAGAUUUGUCCUUUGUGCUACAUAUCCAAUGAAUGACAAAGUACUAUAAAUCAAUUAACAAUUAAUAAAUUUUAAGGAAUAUAAUUUAUGGACAAACACACAUUACUCAUUUAAAGUACCAGCUCUUUACGAGUAUUUUACUUUCAAAUAUUUAAUUUAUGAUAAAUAUAUCAAUAUUUGUAAGUAAAAUUCAAAAAUUAUUAUAGUAAUAUUCUUACAAAAAGGAAAUCGAUAGGUUAUUUAUUUAAUAUAAAUUAAAUAUUUUUAAAAAAAAAUAAAUGGCCCAUAAAGUAUUAAUUUUUAUGACUUUCAUCCAUUAUACGAGUAAAGUAUUCGCUCUUUAUGUGCAUUUUAUUCUGAAUCAUUAAAUUUAUGUUAAAUACAUAAAUGUGUGUAACUAAAAUUGAAAAAGUGUUAUAUUAAUAUUUUUAGGGAAGAGAGAUUGGUAAGUUUUGUAUUUAAAAAAAUUAAAUAUUUGAAAGUAAAUACAAAUCUGUAUUUGAGCGCAAAUAUUUGUAUUAAAUUAAAUGUUUGAAAGUAAAAUACCCUUAAAGAACCGGUACUUUAAAUAGUUACUGGCUCUUUAUAGACAAACACGCAUUACUCAUAUAAAGUACCGUCUUUUUACGGAUAUUUUACUGUCAAACAUUUAAUUUAUGAUAAAUAUAUCAAUGUUUGUUAGUAAAAUUCAAAAAAUGUUACAGUAAUAUUUUUGCAAAAAGGAAAUCGGUAGGUUAUUUAUUUAAUAUAAAUUAAAUAUUUUUUUAAAAAUGACCCAUAAAGUAUUAAUUCUUUAUGGCUUUCAUCCAUUACAUGAGUAAAGUAUUGACUCUUUAUGGGUAUUUUAUUCUGAAUCAUUUAAUUUAUGUUAAAUACAUAAAUGUUUGUAAUUAAAAUUGAAAAAGUGUUAUAUUAAUAUUUUUACGGAAGAGAGAUUGGUAGUUUUUGUAUUUAACAAAAAUUAAAUAUUUGAAAGUAAAUACAAAUAUGUAUUUGAGCGUAAAUAUUUGUAUUAAAUUAAAUGUUUGAAAGUAAAAUACCCAUAAAGAGCCGGUACUUUAAAUAGGUAAUGCAUAUUUGUCUAUAAACUAUACUCCUUAAAGUUUAUUAAUUGUUAACUGAUUUGUAGUAUUUUGUCAUUCAUUGGACAUGUAGUACAAAUGACAAAUUUGGUAAAAAAAAAUUCUAAUUUCACUCUCUAAAACAAUAUUUUAAUUGUUUGGAUUGAAUUUGCAAAGGAUUAGUAACCUCAGGGGAGGCCAAUGUAAUUUUUUAAACCAUAUGGGAGGUCAAUGCAAAUGUCAGAAACCUCAAGGGAGGUUUCUGCAAUUAUCCCUUGAAAUAAUUAAGAGAAGACAUGUAACGUGGAGGCUACUGAUGUACUUUCCGGAUACCCACCUUUUGGUCAAUUCAAAAGUACGGUAGGUAUGAAAUGUACAUCAACGUAAGUAAUUCAAUCGUGGUUUCGUGAAAUUGUUACUAAGUUUGCCUUGUUUGGAAAGAGAAUUUCUACCAAAAUUUUUUUUUAUAUUUUUAUGAACACAUAUUUUAAUUAUUUUUUUAUCUUAUAUAUAUCAAAUUGUUACAAUACAUUUUCUAUAAAAAUUUUUAAAACUUACAAAGAUGACCAUUUCUCAUAUGAAAAUGACAUUACUAGAAAAACGUCCAAAGUUCCAUUAAAAAAAAGGAGAAAAUCCAAAUCGAGCAUUAAUCAUUUUGGGUACGAUAAAAUUUUGAAUUACCAGCAAGUUGUGGCUUUAUUGGAGAACUGGAACAAAUAAUAUUUCGCUCAUCAUAAACACAUUUCUCAACCCACCUUUUUAUAUUCCCAAUUAUCUUUUUAUCUCACAUAUAUCAUAUCACAAAAAAUAUUACAGUAAUUAUUCCAAAUAAUAUUUCAAAUAAUACUCUAUCCAAACAGACCCCAAGAUUGUCCAGGCACCAUGUGGGGUCAAAUAUUAAGAGGUGCAUCUUAGAGAAAAUCCUAUUCAAAUAUAAACAAUUGAGCUUAGCUCAUGGAAAAAAAAAAAAAAACAAAGUUGAUCAUGUUUAAAUAAAUUAAAAAAAAAUCCAACUCAAUCCCAACCAAUUCUUACAACUUUAUAAAAUCCAAGCUGUGUGCGAGUAGCUUUUUGAGAGAGCGAUAAUUCAUAGUUUAAGUUUUUUUUUUUAAAUAAAAAGUUUUGAACUCGCGACCUCUAACUCUUAUUUUAGCAUCCAACCCAACCUUUUCCUAAGAGUUCAUGCUUAGCUGUUUUUAUUUCUAUAAAUGGAAACUGAAAUGCUUGUCAUUAUUAGCUAGACAAAAGCUGCGCCAACAUAAUUUUUGUUAUACUCUAUACUAAUUAAAGACUAUUCUAUAAAUUAAUGAGUUAAUCUUACCUUUAAAUAUGAUUUCCAACUCUUGACCCAUACCUCAUGAAUAAAAGAUUUUUUUUUUUUUGGAUGAAAUCAUGAGGAAGCCAACGAUGGAGGAUGUAAUGGACAAUCUAACUCACAAAUACGGAGAAUUAUAUACAACUCAGUAGCACAAGUAAACCCACGAUUAGUGGGAAAAGAAAUUCACUUAUAGAGACGCUCGAAUUUAUAGAUUUCUAAUUCUUAAAACCUAACUUUAAACUAUCAAUUUAAGGUCUCACAGGCAUAAGGUGCGUUAAUAUAGGUACAAAAAUUUGCCUUGAAUUUUGGCUGUUAAUUGAAUACAGACAGACAGUCCUACAUAUCAUCAAUUUAUGAUCUCAUAAUCAACGUCUGGCUCCUUUCCAGCCAAAAAAUACUACUAGACUAGUUCCGUUUGGAUUCAUCAUUUUUUUUAAAAAAUAAGUUUUUUUAUAUACAAUGUUACAUUAAUAUAUAAUAAAAAUUAAUCUCAAAAAUACCAAAAAUAGUCUCAAAAAAUAAUCUCAUCUACAGUAAAUAUUUUUUACCUAUAAUAUUACAGUAAAAUAUUUCAAAAAACAAGUUUGGAUUGAAGUUUUUCUCAAAAAAAAUUCUUAAAGCUUUCCGUGACUACAAAUUUCUAAAUAACUUUUUAUCUCGCGUACGUUAAAUCAUUACAGUAUAAUUUUUUUUUUUUUACUAAAAAUCAAGAAAAUGACAAUCCAAACAAGAGCACCGUGUUAACAAUCAAUUAACGAAAUCCAGGAUUGUUCCCAAAUCCUCGAGUGCAACAGUUACAAAAUGCUAAAGAAAGAGCACUGCCAGUAGGACAAAAUGUAAGCCAAAAAUCAAUCACCAUAAAGGCAGGCAUCAACAAUCCAGCCGUUACGCCACGUAUCCCCUCUUCUCUUCUUCUUUUUCUUCUUUCUUUAACCACUUCAAACGUUGGUUGAACGAACCUUCUCCCCCCCCCCCCCCCCCCCCCCCCCCCGCGCGUAAGGCAAUCCAGCUGUCCCUAUUCCGCGUAACCCCUAGGCAAUCCCAAUUCCCACCCCAUCAAGAUCUCCCUAUAAAUACCUUGACAGCCCGUCAACAUUCCUAUUCCAUCACAGAACAGCACAAGAAUUUCUAAGGUCCCGUCCCCUACUUUUUCAUCCCCACAUCGUUCAGUUCUUACUCCUCUCGACUUCUGCUGUAUUCUUCUUCUUCUUCCUAAAUGGCUUCUCAAGUUAGCUUCAUCAAGGCGUUGGUGUUCGCUGUUGUCAUGAUGUUGGCCGUAGCGGCGGCCUCCGCCCAAGAGUUGGGCCUCUCCCCGGCAGCUUCACCGGAUGCCGGAGCUGCUUUCUCUUUGCCGGUGUCCACCGCUUUCAUUGCCAGCUCCCUGCUCUUCUCUGUUUUUGCUCUGUUGAGGCACUAAGAUUACAGGAUGCAAGGAGAGAGGUUUUUGGGAUGGCGAGCGUACUUAGUCCUUCUAUGGUACCAGCAUAGUUAUUAUGGACCUAUUCAAUUUUAUUAUUUUAUGUAAAAAUUUGAGAUGACUGAGUCUAUAUAUGAUCCUUGUAUCUGUUGAUACAUAUAUUGUAUUAUAUUUAUACGUUGAUGAUGGUUGAUGGGAAAUAAAGUUUGCUAUUUAUUGUAUCAGUCCGUUCUUAUUUGGAGUUCUUCAUUUUUGCAAGACUCAGAUAGUAGACCCCAAUUUGUUGUCAUCCCAAAAAAAAAAAAGAGGAAAAAAGGGGCCAAAAGCCAAACAACAUGAAAGGUCUUUUAUCCCCCCCCCUUUUUUUUUUUUUAACAAAAUGAGAGGGGGAUAAUUAUUUACCCUCUCCCCCACCACUUGGGAUCCUCGGUGACAUGUUUUCUAUGUCAAUUCAAUAUCACCUAUAGUAUUGCGCCAAAUAUCAUAUUAUUAUUUACACUUGUGUUAAAUCAAACUAAAUUGAAUUAUUAAAAAAUUAAAGUGUAAAUAAUAACAAGACAUUUGGCGCAAUAUUAUAGGUGACAUUGGAUUGACAUAGAAAACGUGUAAUCAAAGAUUUCAAGUGCCCCACCCCCCAACACAAAAAAAAAAAAAAAAAAAAAAAGAGCAUGGGAGAGCGGCUACACAAUAAAAUUUUGCAAUUCCCAAAAAUUGAUCUAUUGUGUUAAAGUGGCUGUGAAUUGGUGAAAAAUUCAAUGGCGGAUUAAUGGGCUAAAGGUUGGAAUAUGGAAAUAGAUUUGAUACCACUACGGACUACCUAUUUCAGUUGUUGUUGCUCUCUGAAAUUACAUAUCCAUACAAGGGUUCGAGUUUCGAUUGAUAUUUGUGGAGUUUCUUUUUUUAAAUUUAUUUAAAGAAUAUAUAUGGUUGGUCCUAUUAAGGCUUCCCAUGUAUUAUAAUAUCUCUAUCUUAGUGAAGAAGACUGUUGUCAAAUAUGUAAAGAUAGCUUCUUUUUAGCUUCCAAUAUAUGUCCUCAAAUAUAUAUGGCUCGUAAAAAAGGAAAACAAAUUUAUCUAUUUGCGUCAUAGGCACAAUGGAUGAGACGCGUACAUUUGUCAUAUUAGUUUGUCGUACCAAGAAUUUUUCAAAAAAAAAAAAAAAAAAAAGGAGGUUUGGCAUACCAAGAAAAGAGCGUUCAAAAAUUUCUUUAUUUGUCCUUUAUCGAUGUAAGAUGUAAAAACUUUACGUCCAAAUCAACCAGUCCGACAAAUGAAGCCGUUACGUUACGUACGCCUUCUUCCUUUAGGCUUUAGCCACACAACAAAAUUCAAACGUCGGUGGUGAACCGCCUUUGCCGUCUUCAUCCUCUCCCGCUCCCACCACCUGUCGCCCUUCCACCUCUAUAUAUUCAAUCGCAAAAACAACUUCGAAUCAACCAAUUUACACGCCCUUUCCUCUCCUUUGAAGAUCCUUAACACCAUUUACACCCUCGAUCUCCUCUCAUUUUACAAAUGGCCUCUCUGCAGGGUAGCAUGAUCAAGGCCAUGGCAUUGGCAAUUGUGAUGUUGGCCGUUGCAGCCGCCUCAGCCCAAGACCUGUCCCCGGCACCGUCUCCCAGUGAAGGCAAUGCAGCAUUUUCUCUGCCGGUCUCCACCGCCUUGAUCGCGAGCUCCGUGCUCCUCUCUGUCUUCGCUCUGCUAAGGCAUUGAGUAUUUGAAGAGUUUUUACGUGAGCAGCAAAGAGCAAAUUGUUUGAACAUGGAGGAGAGAAAGAGGGUUUUGUUUUGGAUACAUUUAUUUUGUUUUGGAUUUUAUUACCAGAUUUUUUGUAUUAAUUACAUGUUAUUGAAAUGUACUGAGAAAUAAAAAUUCUGAUUACUUUAUUAUCAUGCUUACAAUCUCUUUUCAGGCUUAAUGGGUUUUUUUUUUUGCCUUUUAUACGAUGAAGGAGUAGUUAUAAGUUCAGCAUAAAUUCGAAGAAAAAGAUUCCAUGAAAUGCUUGAUCUUUGAAUUGAUUUCUAUGUAUUUUUUUUUUCUUAAGGAAAGAGAUAACUUGAAAACAAAAAAAAAAUUAAAAAUAAAAAUUAGUUAACGUUAUUCUCUAAAGGCCAAAUUCCAGACAUACUCAAAAAUAAUGUGCAAGUAAAUUGAUCUCAAUAAACUAAAUUCAACCAAAAAGGGAUGAAAUAAAUAUUAAACUUAAUAUUUUUCGUGAUUGUUGAAACGUAGGAAAUUCACUGGGCAUUUCUUUAAAAGAAAAUCUAUGUACUGAUGGCUUCUUUAAAGUAUAUGUGUAUCCUUUUUUUUUUUUUUCUAGAUAUAAUGCCUCUAAAAUAAUAACAAGUUGUUUAAAAAAAGAAAAAAAUAUGAUUGAAAACAAUGUUUAGGGAAUAGAGUAAAUUAUUAUUAUAUAUCAUUUUACAAAAUAUAUAUAUAUAUAUACCUAUUCAAACUGCCAUUUGUCCAUUUACACUGCUAAUUCUUCCCUUGCAGUUACUUAAUCAAUUUGUUUACUACUUGUCCUAUUUCCGUGGACCAUGGGGCAAAUAGGUGUUGAAUCUGUCCAAGAAUCUGCAUUCUGAAUUUAACAAUUGAAUGCUCUUUCUUUCACAUAUGGCUGCAGUGUUUGGUGUUUACGUGAAAGCACACAGGCCAGCAUGACGUUAAAAUGGGCAGGCCAAGUCCAGGCGACCUUCUAAAUUCCACCUAUACCUGCUCAAGCAAGCAUACCGCACCGCCCCACGUUUGGUAUGUGGUGGAUCCCCAAUUCUAUACAACAACAAUUCUUGAUGGUACCAACGGACGUUGGUGCAAGUGGAAGGAGCUUGCAUCCCUUAACCAUGAGGUCUCGGGUUCAAAACCUAUGAGAAUGGAAAAAACAAUGUUGGGAGAGCUUUCCCCUGCAAGGGCCUGACCCGGCUCGAACAGGAUUAAUCGCAAUCCAUAAAAUGGAUGCGAACACUUGUGGGUUAUAUCUUAAAAAAAAAAAAAACAUUGCUUGUGGUAUACAAGUUGUGAAUUAGAAUUAGAAUGCAAGGCAACUGUAUUUUAUCCUCCUUUCAUCUGUAAUUGAUCAUAUAUAGAGCUAGGAAGCUAGAUUUUCAAUGAAUAUCUUGAACCAGGUCUAAACUAGAUUUUGUUACCCUAUAAAUGACUACAUUUCCUUCUUCUCAGUGAAGCAAAGACCGAAAAAAAGCAUUCAUAGACGUACAAGAAGUCGUCUUGAAGUAAAGUGAUGGAUUAAGCGAUUAUGACUAUGCGUUUAGAGUGUAAGGUCCUGUCUGAUAACUCAAUUCAGCGUUUAAAUUUAAUGGAUUCAGAUUUUAAUAUAUUCAGCUUCGUUUGAUAAUCAAAAAUAGAAUAUUUAAAUUAUUUAAGUAGUACUAAAUUUUCUAGGCAAAAUUUGAUCUCAAAAGUAAGUGAUAAGUUAUUCACUUAUCAUUUCAUGUGAUAUACAUUCAAAUAUAUUAAAUUUAAUAUUUAACUGUUCAAUAAUUUAAUGAAUUCAGAUUUUAAAUUUCAAAUUUCAGUUUUUAAAUUUCAAUUUUAUUAAACGCGCUCUAAAAAUUGGUAAGAUAACAUGAGACUAGUCGGCGAAUAGCUGUAACUUUCCUACUAUUCACCCUUCUUUUGCUCAUAGACAGCCCUUGAUGCAAUAAUUGUUCCUUUUAAAUUAUUGCAACCAUCCCAUGAGCUGAUCUUCGGAGAUUCAACAGCUGCUGCAUAUUGCUUUAAUUAUGAAGUCAACUUUCAGCUGGAUUGCUCUGUUCCAUUUGUGCUCAAUUUGUUCCUUUUCUUCCUUCUGCCGACUUUAUCAAACUCAUCUCAAUUUGUCCACAGCUUUCUUAGAGUUCUUACAAAAUCCUUCUUUACCCUAUUGGGCUGCCGUCUGACAAUGUCGAUCUCCUCCACUCUUUCAUUAUUGACAUAGAACUUUACCAUAGUACGUCGAUCUUCAGAGCUAUGUGUUGCAUUGUAACUUCUUAUUAUAUAGGACAAGUGCGGCAAGCUGGUUAAUAUACUGCUACUAUCAAAAUUUCUACAGCAACAAUAUCUACGAGCUCGAAUUUGAUCUCAAAAUUUUGCAUGCAAAACAUGCAUUCCAUCUAAACCCGUUAGCGUAAAUCCUACCAUCAAAAAUGAAUAAUUCUUUAAUCUACUCUCUAACAUUAUUCUACCGAUGCAAAAGAUGAUGCUUAAUACGAUGGAGUGCAAAUGAUUAUGCUUAACGAUGUGAUUGGACAGGGUGAAAAAUCAUUGUCCAUUUUGAACCUCGUUGGCAGAAACAUGGAUCAUUAUGAAAGUGAAUCGAAUUCUGGACCCCCAAUCCUGGACUUCUAACGUUACAAUGUGUGAAAGAGUACGAUACCUGGGGACAAAAAGGAAAGAAUCAAUCACCCGCAAAUCCAGCUGUUACGCCGCCUUAAUUAGCUAUUCGAUCUUGUUCUUUAAAAGUCUAAAUUAGCCGCUUUUAAUAUUCAGACGUUGGAGAACGAACGAACGUUCUGGUUCCACCAGCUGUUCGUCAUUGCGCGUUAAGUUCAAUCUACACGCCAAAAUCUCCCUAUAAAUACCACCAGGUCUUCACUCCCAUUCCAUCACAGAACAGCAAACUUCUGUAUUUCUAUUGCCGCUACUACAGCUGCGACUUUUGCUAGAAAGAAGUAAAAGACAUCUUCAAGAAAAUGGCUCAAGUUAGUAUGAUCAAGGCUUUGGUGUUGACAAUCGUCAUGUUGGCCAUUACUGCCGCCUUGGCUGAAGAGGUAAGCCUGGCCCCGGCACCGUCUCCUGAUGCCGGAGCCGGGUUUUCUUUGCCAGUGUCCACCGCUUUGAUCGCCGCGUCUCUGCUCUCGUCAGUUUUUGGUCUGAUGAGGAAUUGAGGUUUUCUUCAUGGACCAGAGUUUUUGCUCGUAUACAUUUACCAUUGAUUAUGGACAUAUUCUUUUUGUUAAUUACAUGCAGGAAUUUGGCACCUGAAUUCGUGAUUCUUUCAUCCCUGUAUUUGUGUAUCACUACAUUUAUUCAAAGAUAGCGAGGAAUAAAAAUCUCUAUUUUGUUAUCAUCAUGCUUUUGUUCGUGUAAGAUUUACAAAUUGAAUUGUAUUUUCUCCUGUCUUAUCUUUAUAUCUUUUACUUUUUCAAUCCGAUAGCGUGUCGCCUAAACAGCAAGACUAAUGGUCUCAAAAGCCCCACAUGUAUGUUGCUCUCAAAUCCAAACUUUUGGAUCUUCUAUUCCUUGUUUUCCCCUUUUAAUUCACCUUGAAAAUGCCAUCGUUUCUGGAUGCAAAACUGUGGGGAGACUAUGAAAGAUUGCGUUUUUUUUUUUUCUGGGGAAAGAAAAGAGCCAAAAUUUUAUUAAUAUGAGAUAAUGUCCGCAACAAAUGCGGUAAUAAUAAAAUCUGGAGGGGAGACUAUGAAAGAUUGCGUUAGUCAAUAAGGAAUUGUAAAGUUUUUUUUUUUUUUCUUUCUUUCUUUGUAAAGGAAACCGAAUUAGAGUAUUUUAAAUAUUAGCACAUUCGAUGUUUAAUUACUAGAAUAGUUAUAGGUUUCCAACAAUGCGUUUAGGGCAGUAGCGACCUAUGAGCAGGGGAUAACUGAUUCAAAGAACUUUUGUCCACCACUUCAAUUCAGUCACUACAAUAUCCUGUAUUCCAUUGUAUGGAUUCAAUUCUUUAUUUCAUCAUGCCUUAACCCGCAACCACCUGCCACUGUAACGAGACUUCCAAGUGGACGCGGGGCUGGAAGGUGUAACACCAUUUGUACAUGAUGUAACAUCAUCUGUACAAGGUGUAAUAAUUGAACAACAGCGAGUAAAAUAAAACAACAUUUUUGUGGGUCUUACACGGCGUGAAAAUCGAGUUACAAGACGUGACCUGAACCGCACAAAUUUUUGAGGCUUCAUCCAAGCCGUGAACUGCCUGGACGGUUGUCGAGCGUCCAGGCCCCUCGUCCCUUCCAAGUUCCCAACUGCAGCUGAUAACAUGGUAAGCAUAAAAUACGGCGCCGCCCACGUUAGCCACAUGGCGCAUCAAUAAUAGCCCACUCACUCACUCACUCCCAGUUAAGCUCCAGGUAACCGGAAUCAUGCCGGGAGCGGGAGGGUGGGACGAAUGCUUUCGAAACGGUGUUGUCCAAUUCAACAAGUUGUACGUUUAAUUUUUUUUUUAAAAAAUGUAAAUUAUUUUAAAAUACGAAGUAAAUAUAAAAUAAACUUUUGCAAAGUUCAACAAUGGCUAAAAAUUCUUCUGGUAUUUUGUCAAGAGAAUUGAAUAGGCGCUUGAUUUGGCUGAGUGGGAAAACUAAGUGCCAUUUGUUUUUUCCAAACCAAUUCAAUUUGGUAGUGACAUAUGAGGUUCAGCUUAAUAUCGACACUUUUUCCUUUCUUUUUUCUGUUGAAAUACUAUAUGGUAUAUCACAAGUGGUUAUAUCUAACAUCUACACCAAGAUGUAUACAAGAAGAACAUGGUAGUAUGAUUUAUGAAACGAUGCAUCCUACCAUAUAUACUACGCUAAUGGCUUCCAUUAAUUUAAUGGAGCGGAAGUCCUUCGAGGUUGAACGAUCACUUGAGAAGGAGAGGCUUCGGAUUCUUGAAUAUCCAACUCAUGCUCGGCAAUUAUGAUGCAAGAAUCAGCUUCCAGGGGUGAGUUCAAGUUCUUGUCCUUGGAGGACUCUUUGGGUGAAUUGAGCAUAUCAGCUGAGCACUGAACAUCAGGUGUUAUUCCAACCUGAUCAAUGUCAUGAAGUCCUGGGGACAAGUAUUUUGCCACUGUUAUAAAUAAAGCCGAUCCGUCAUCCAGCUCCGUUAUGCUCUGCAGCAAAAUGACUCAGCAUUGUUAAGGGAACUGAUGUGCAGUGCCAUAAGUUCUCAAAGAAGUGGUGAUAAAAAAGUGAUAAGGUAACCCCAAAGUCGAAAAGGAUUCAGAUGUUUAAGAGUCAGUAGGAGGAAUCCAGCCAUUAGGAUGCCACCCCAAUGGCAAGACUUCAAACUCCUGGUAGAUGGCAAUUAAAUGCUUCUUUGUUCUAACAUUUUAACCAUCCCCAAUUCCCAACUUGAUGGCCACAGGUUGAGUUCAGCUAAUCUUAAGCAUUUGAGGUGACGCCUAGUGUAAUCUCUUGAAACCACUUGAACAAGCUAAGAAAAGUUUUUGGCGUGUCCACCACAACAUGGUAGUCUAAAAGUCAGACCCAGAGCUUCCCAAAAACGGCCAGUUUGUAAAAAUCAGUCUGAGGAAGACAAGGAUAUGUUUCCUGGUAUCUAUUACCUUUAGGGAAAAAAAGGGAAUCUCUGAUAUUUUUAUGACCUCAUCCUUUGAUUCAAAGCUCCAAGUUAUUGAUCCUUAGAUUAUGAGCGGAAGUUUGAGAUUUUAAAUGAUGGAAUGCGUCUAUAACAGUUAUGCUUUUAAGAAGAUACUGCAAACCUGUAUUUUUCCCUUCCCAAAAGUUCUAUGACCAACAAGAAGUGCUCGGCCAUUGUCAUGAAGAGCUCCUGCCAGAAUCUCACUGGCACUUGCACUUCCCUCGUUCACCUGUUCAAGUAAAAGGAAAGAAGUUCGCAGGUCAAACCAUGGGAAUGCUUUCGGGAAGUAUUAUUCAAGUAUCUCUCAAGCAAAAAGAGAUCCAUCUACACUUCUAUGUUGUCAGAAUCAUUCAUCUACUCACAAGGACAACAAGUGGAUCGUGUGUUACAGCAUGCCCGUUGGCCAUGCUGAUUGAGAACAAAUUACCAUCUCUAUCAAUGGUGUUUACAAGAGUCUCAUCCCCAUCAAGCCAAAUUUGGGCAACAUCAAGUCCUGCUUUGACCAAACCGCCCUGCAAGAUCAUAAGGAGAAAAAAGAAUACUUGUAAUCAAGUUAUGAAUGUGCAUUAAAGGUACAAAAAACUUUGCACCAAGAGAACAGAAAUCCUUGAGCUUACAGGAUUAUUCCGCAGGUCUAAGAUGUACGAUUGUACGCCUUGAUUUUCCAUCUCACGGAUGGUAUUUUGCAUAUCGGUUGCAGAACUCUGUCAUAUUAAAAGGAUGUCAUGCAAACAUGAUGUGCAAAAGAAGAAGUGACUGAAUAUCAUGAGUUUUUUCUGACUACCUGAGAGAAAGCUGACAAUUUCACAUAUCCAGUUUUUGACAUGUGACCGUCUGGUGUUCUGUGAGUGAUGAUAGCACUGGAUACUGGUGAGAACCGAAUUACUUCACGAGGUAGUUUUACCUUCACGAUAUUGUGUAGUUUUAUAUAAGUUCAUCGAGUAAUAAAUACUGGAUCUAGGUUGCAGCACAAAGCUCUGAUGUGGACAUGUUCUAUUCCAAAUUACUGCAAUCUAGCCUUUGAGAUAACCGUCACUAUGCCAGAAUUAACUAGCCAUGUAAGAUGCAGUAUACCAACUAAUUGUACUAGUAAUGCAUUUGUACCUCUCUGAAAUUAGAAUUUUUGGAAUCAGUACCCUGAAAAGAAUGAAAACAAACCAGCAAGAACAGGAAGUUAGAAUGUGAGUACAACAUGUGAUUACCAAUGCAUGUUAAAUAUGUCAACUCUCAGAUUGACAUGCUUGUAUAUGGAAGUCAAGUUACAUCCACCAUCUUAGAACUUCAACUGACAAUGACACCAACAAAUCAGCAUCACUGAAUGUUCAUAUGCAUCAUCUAAAUGUGAUUGAUUUCAUGCAGCUGUCGGGGGCUUAGUCUUGUUAUAAACAAAGUGAACAUUUUUAUGUUGGAAGUGAAGCAAUGGUUACUUAACAAGAAAAUAUGUCAAAGUAUCAUAGAAUGUUGGAUAAAAAUGAAAAUUUCCUGACCUGUCAACUGACUCAUUGUUUGAAAGAACCAGAGACAUCCAGUUUUAGAAACUUUGAAUCCAAUCAAGGUCUGAAAUGAAUCUUGACUUCUGGAUUCCUUGUCAUUUUUAACAUUUGCAAAGCUAAGAUGCAUAAUUGUCUAAUUGAAGGAUGCUGCAGUUUUUGAGAACACACUAUGGCCAUGUUGACUACAAAGAUUGGAAGGAAAAUUGCUUACGGGGUGAAUUUUUACAGUAACAGUUGUGCCAGCACGGCCUCUGAGCUUCUGUGCUGCUGCUUCGCUUCCGAUUCCCUCAAGGCCUUCCCCUGAUUUUUACAAACAACAGUCAACAAUGCUUUAGGCACUUUUUUUUGUACACGUAUCUUUUCCUACCAAGACAAGUUGGUAGAAUAACACCUAUAUUUAUUUCAAGUACACAGUGUGUAGUAUUAAAGAAUUAUGAACAGGACCUUUUGGAACGAAGAUAACUACAAGCAAUGAGUUCUAAUCACUAGCUGAGUGGUAACCCCCGAGGCUGUUCGUGGUCCUAAACUGACAGUCAAGAGAAAAGGAUUCGCAGUGGAUAAAAAUAGAAAGCUUCCCCCAUCAACAACAUCUCUUCCCAGAGAGGAAGUGCUUACAGAAAGCACUUAAAAGUAGAUUGGAAAAUCUCAAACUUUAGAGAUGAAUAAAAAACUUCAGGUGAGUCCCAAAGAAAUUUUGUUAAAUGAAGAUUCAAAUUUACAAUAUUUGAUUUCGUUGUCAUUAUCCAAAUUUAUUUGUUUCUGAACCGUAUGUAUGAGUUUGAAUGCAUCUGGAGAUAAAACCACAAGGAUUGUGUGGAUAAAGUCAAAUAAAUGUGGCUGACUUUAGGAUUUUCCUUUAGAGUACAUGAGUCAGUAAUCUACACAAGGCAAUUCAGUUACUUAAAACACAUCAUCUGCCUACAUGGCAUAGACAUAAUUUAUGCAUUGCCUUGGCCUGAUAGUCUAAACUAAAUCCAGAAAAUUGAAGCAAAUUUUCAACUUAAAAAGAACUAACAGCAUUGCACUCUAUCCACAGGGUAAAUUAUCUGAAGCAUAUAGACCUUUUAACUUUCACAUAAAUCAGUAUAAUUAUUUAGAAUCUGCCAAGAAAAAAUUACAAUCCAUCUUUGAGAUUAGGUCCUAGAGUCUCAUUUAUUUCACUCAGCCAUUAUGAAUGGGAGUAUUGUUUGAUAGUAGCUCAGCCUAUAUUAAAUUAUGGAAAAUACAUAAAUAAAUCUUGUUAAUUGAACUCCUAUUAAGCUCUCUUAAUUGAUAAGAUGAAGAGUUUGGUCGUCAUUUACCAUUAAUUUCAACCAGCUCAUCUCCUUCAUGUAUACCAGCACGUGCGGCAGGACCAUUCUCCACACAUGAUGAAACAACCUGCAGUUAGAUGACAAUGAAAACAAUACAUAACCAUUUGUAGUCAAAUCUUAGAAACAAAAACUAUAUGAAUGUUUGCAGGGAUCCAAGAACCUGGACAGAUAAACAAAUAUUUUACAGUCUCAGUAUAAAUUAGAAACAUUUAGGAAUUUAGUAGUCAAUCCGCUUGGUGGACAUAAUGUGCAGUCAAAUGAAUGCAAAAGAGAAACAAAACAAAUAGACACAAGUGCCAAGAAGAGAAAGGCACAGAAUAACAAUGGUUCUCAUCACAUCAGAAUAACAGCGGUUGUGUUCAGUCUUGUUUCCCCUCAAGGGUUGCAUCUUGUGACACCCUGCUCAAAUUCUGGGGAGCAUGCAGACUAUCAGUUAUGGUGACAGAAUAAUGCUUUGUUCCAGAGUUUCAUGAUCCAUAUCACCAUGAAUGCAGCUACAUACAUCUUCACUUCUUUUCACCUGCUUUGCUUUUGGUUGAUUUUUCCUAAUAUGCUGGCUAUAGGCUUCGGGCUUCUUAAGCUUGCAAUUAUCUUAAUUAAAUAGGUAGACAACAGCUUCAAUUAGACGGGUGUCAAAAAGUUUAAGCAAGUGUAGUAGGAAGCAUGGUAGCAAGUUUAUGACCUAUGCUUGAUUUGAAUAAAUUUUGAACGCAUUAAUUGAUUUAGUAAUCCAUUUAGGAGCACAGACUUACAGACAAUGCAGAUUAGACAAUGUAUUGUUUUGGCCUGAUUGCUAUUAAUAGAAUAUGAAAGCACAAGUUCAAAAGAAUGUGUUACCAACCAGGUGCCCUGUUUUUGGUUCGACAGUAAUGAAGAGACCAACACCUUGCAAAUUUCCAUCAGUUCCUAUUCUAAAGCUCUGGUAUUCCUGCAUUCAAGAACCCUCUACAAUAAAUCAUAAACAAAAUUGAAACUUUAGAUGUACCAAAAUGGAACAACACAGCAGACUAGGUACUUUUGACAUAAAAUGAGCUCAACGUAGUUUCUAGCAAUUGCAUUCCGAAAUGCCAAGGAAGGAGUUGGAAAUUUAGAAAUAGGAACUUUAUAGAACUGGAAUGACUAGAAUAGCUGCUCCAAUCUUUGAAAUUAUAGCAUGUUAAGCAGGUAUGACAGGGAAGAAGAUAAAAUCAAAGGAACAACCUGGCGAUUAAGAAAUCCAGCGGAUUGUCACUUUUUAUCAUGCCAGGAAUGAUAUUGGAUAUUGGACAUUCAUAUCUUCCGAUGGUUAUUACCUUAGGACUGAUAAUGCGAGUAAAGGGAUCUCCAAGAGAAGAAAGCAUUCCCUUAAUCUUGCCAUAAGCUGCAUCUUCUGACUUAAGAGGAAAUAUUUCUACCAUUGUCUGCUGAAGUUUCAAAUCCCAGUCUGCAAAUCGAAACUUCACCAAUUCAGAGAUCACACCGAGUUUCAAAUAGUGCUUGGUAAAUGGGAGAUAAGUCUCUUAAUAGAGUGGAAUAAUCAACAGCUAUCAAGAGCAUGGGACAGGAAGGACUAGCGACAAUCUUAUCAUUUCUUUUUGUUUAUUCAAUCUACCAAGAAAAAUUCCAUUUGCCAAUCAUGUAUUUCUCCUCAAAUUAGACAGUUCUUGACAGUGCCACAUUGCAUGCAAUUACAAGCUUGAAAUUAUUUUAUUUCUCACGGAAAAAAAUAUCUGAACUCAAGAACAUGCAUUAAAGAAUUGCGAUUUCAUACCUUGAUGAUUGAAAGUAGGAUCAACAAAGGUUUCCCUAAUCAGACCCCAAGCUUCCACAAGGGUUCUCUGAACAGUAUUUAUCUACCAGUAAAACAAUUCCAUAAUCAGGAAACUCGUAAAACAAAAGUAAAAAUCCAAGUUAAACCAAACCAGGCAACAAAAUACUCAGGAAGAUACAGUUCAAGAACUGAAUUGCUUCAGUAAUUAGUUACCUCCCGCGUGUGAGAAACCGGGAAUGCAAUAGUAAUAGACUGUGCAAAAGCUGGAGAGUCAGAACAACAUAAGGAUACAGCAGCAGCAAACCCAAAAACUCCACCACUGACCCAUCUAAACAAACUGUCUUUUAAUUCAACAGGUGCAUUAUUCUUUUGCUGUGUAUUGGACUUCCUUGUUGCAGGUAAUUUAUGUCCAAAUUUUUUGUUUUUAUCACAAAUUGAGCUAGGACUAGGAAAGAAUAACUUUGAAGUGGGUCUUUGAAACAAUUUAGAAAUUAGAGAAGUAGUUGAUGGGUUGAGAUCAAAAUUCGAGCAGAAAGAUUCCAUAAUUCUAAGCGGAAAAAAUGAGAUGAUUUAAGAAAGAAUUCUUGACUUUGAGCUCUUAGUCUAUUUAAAAGUUGGAGUGGUUAGGCAAAAUUUUGCAUGGACCGUUGUGUCGUGAAUCUGGUUAGGCCUGCUAAGGAUCUUUGUUCGUUGAUACUUUGUGGUGAUUAAAUCUGUUGCGUGGACGAGUGUCCGAGUGGUAAAAAAUGUUCUUCCAAGUGGACCAAUAGAUAGAUUGGUUCAUAUUAUGUGAUUCUUAAGCAUUUAAAAUUACUAAAAUGAGGAGGAUCUCGCUUUUUGGUGGGGUUCAAGAAAACAGCCCUCCAACUUUGCUCAAUUUGCACACUGCCCUGUCGCUUUCUCGUUUGCCUUCAAUACGCCCUUUACUAGACAUGUUUGGCUCGUUCGAGUUUGAAAAGGGUUUUGAUCGAAUGAUACGAAUUUAGCUUCAACACAUUUAUUAUUAGGAUCAUUUACCAGUCGAGCUAAAGAUGGAAUUUGUUUGUAAGCAGAUCAACUAUAUUUGUGAUCAUAAACAUUAGGUAUACAUAUACUAAAUUAUAUAAUAAACAAAUAGAUGCAAUUCCUUUUUUUAAAAAAUUUGUUUAGUAGAAAAGGAGUAGGAUUUAAGAAGCGGAAAGAGUGUAGGGGAAUUAGAAUUUAAAAUCUCUACGUAUUAGGAUUUCGACCUUAGUCACUAAGCUAAAAUAAGUGACUACAAAUCCAUUUGCAAAUAGUUUUGCAAACACAUACAUUAUAUAUACACGCGCAUCUGUCCCUAGUUUCUAAUCCUACAAAAUAUGUAUAAAAGUAUGUUGUGAAAAAAAUAUAUACUUCACUAAAUAAAAUCUUCAGAUCCUUCUCUUUUCCUAUUGCUACUCAAAAUCCACGACUUUUUUGUCUCUUCUAGUCGAUCAUCCUUCCCCUCAAAGCUCAAAUCUAUUUAUCCCUUCAUUCUUAUUCACAAACCCUUUCUUAUAUUCAACUCCCAACGAUCCUUGCAUUGGUAAGUUGGAUUUAUUUUCCUUUUGUUUUCUACUCUUAUUCUUCUUUACCUUCCAAUCUUGAGCCUCUAUUUUCUUCUUUUUAUUUUCUUUAACAUGCAUAUGAAGCAAUAAAGCUUGAUUUAUUGUGUCUCUUUUCUAGCUUUUCGUUCUUUGAUUCUUAUGAUAGUUUGCACCUAUGACCCUUAUAUUUUAAUGUUUUCUUUCUUCUAUUUUUUAAGAGUAUUGAAAUAAGGUUAUAAGAACAUCAAUCCUUUCAUAUUUUACAACUAAUAUAAAAUUUGUUAAAUGAGUAUUGCAAACUCAAGUUCGAACUCAGCUUGGUCAAGUUUAAAGAGCCAAACUCAACUUUCAACUUGAAUUCCCAUAUAAUGUCAAACAAUUGAGCUCCAAGUGUAAUAAUUAAACAAACACAAAUGCUGUGCUCAUAACAUACGGAAAGAGAUUAAAUACUAGGUAAUCAGCUCGUUAGUUGCUCUUUUCCACUUGAAAGAAAGAGAAGCUUUGUAAAGAGAUAAAGAAUUUGGAAAUAAUUGCGACAGGAAUUAAGAUCCCCAAAAUAACACAUUCUUCAAUUCAUUGUCUGGUCCUUCAAUUCUUUUGUUUCUCACGAAAGUAACCCACAAACAUGGUGAAGUGUUUAACAGGCCUAAAAAAGGUUGGGCUUAAGAGCAAUAUACGGGGGGUUGGGCUUGGUUAGUUCACAGUCCAUCUCUAAAUGAGGGUUGGAAAACUAUAUAUUUGGCAAUAUAUCAAUAUAUAUCUCUAGAAUUAUAAUUUACUUGAAGGGAAAAUCGUUCAAAAUAUUUUUCACAUUUCGUCAAAUUAAUCUUUUAAAAUUUUAAUUUGUAAAAUUUGGUCCCAAUCUAAUUUUUCCAACCAUUUUAAUUUAUAUGCAUAUACAAACUAGUUCGGCCAUGGGGUUGUGAAACACAACAACAUAGAUUUUCAAUCAAUUUGCUUUAUUGAGAAGAAGAUUACUAGAGAAUUUGAUGGGAAUUUGUUCUAUGAAAUGUUUAGGUACAUGACAAUGACAUGUUUGGUAGGAGUCCAGACAAAAUGCGUGAAAUUGCGUUGCAACAAGGUGAAUGGGAAAAAAGUGGGUGGGGAGUAUAGCUGUCAAACAAACCCAUUUAACUAAGUUUACCCAUACCUGUCCAUGAAUAGAUGGAUAUGGAUAUCUUAAAUCAUUGCAUAUGGGUAUAAAUGGAUUACCCAAAAAUACCCAUUUAGAAUCAUUGGGUAACUCAUCAAAGCCAAAUAACCCAUUUAGAAUUGACUUCCCCCAAACCUCCUCUCUUCCUCCACCCAUUUUUUUUUUUUCAAAAUUUUCAUUUUGUCAUGAUGUUAACUACUUUUUGUUACAUUAUUAUUAUUAUUUGUUGGUUUUAUUUUCUCUUAGUUUGUUAACUUACUCAUUUUUCAGCAUUUCCAAUUUAUGACAAGUUUUAACCUUUUUUCUUAUUUUUUCAAAAUAAAAAUUUUAAUUUACACACAAAAAAAAUGUUAGAGGUUCAAAAUUUUUUGAUUUAAGUUUUUAUGUUAACUUUUAUAGUACUUAAUUCAAAAUUUUAUAUUCUUAUUUUUUAAUUAUUAAAUAGUAUGUAAUUUUGCAACAUAGAGUACAUAUGGGAAAAAAAUUGAUAAUUAGGUUUAUUGAGCAUUAUAAAUAAAUAUUUAAAACUAAUGAUGAGUGCAAAGGAUGGUAUAAAUUGAUAAUUUAGUUUGCAAAAAUGAAUUUAAAUGAAUUUACAAAAAGUUAUGAUAAAUGGGUUAUAAAUAGGUAAUUGGGUUACCCAAUUCAUUUUUUGACUUACCCAUUUAUACCCAUCUAAUUAAAUGGGUAUAAAUGAAUUGACUCAUUUAUACUCAUUACCUAUUUUACCCAACACAAACCUACUCAAAUCACCCAUUUUAACACCUUUAAGUGGAGAGGGAUGGAUUUGGUGGUAUCAAGGGAGGGAGUGUAAGUGAGAGAUAUUAGAUUCGAGACUUUCCACUUAUAUUUAAAAAAAUAAAUAAAAGAGCAGCUAAAAGAAAAGGUGAAUGAGAAAAAUAGGCGCUCUUGUGGUGUGGAGGUUUAUCCUUGGUAAGCAAGAAACAUUUUAUCUGUUUCAUGUUUAGAUUAUUAAAGUUCUAUUUACACUUGGAUGUUUUACUGUUUUAAAGGUAAAGUGAAGACCAGGCAUGAUGUGAAAGUUGAAAAUCUCAGAUGUAGUUCUUGGAUCCAUUUUUCCUUUUAUAAAAGAGACUUUUCGAGAAGCAAUGGAUGUUUACGUUAGGAUAAUAAUGCAAAUUGAUUAUGCAAUGUAUACAAAUCAAAAUUUUCUAACGAAAUUCUAGAGGUAGAGUUGUCAUCAUACUAUAUGUAUUUGGUUGUAUAUCUGUGUGCACUGUGAAGAAUUAAUUACCUGUGAUCUUGUCCUCUUUUUUUCCUUUUUUUUGGGGGGUCCCAAAAAUUAGAUUUUAUCCUGUCACCAUGUCUGAAUUCAUAAAUCACAAGGAGUUUAUCUGGAGAUAAUUUUGUUUAAUGGCCAACGAAAAAUUAAACUUCAUCAACUUUAUUUGAAAGUUCUGAUGAUUGAUUCAAUUGUUCUUUUUGUAUUUAGAUGGAAAAGAGAAGAUCUCCAAAGAGACCAUCGAGGCCUUAGAUAUGAGAAAAACAUGACUAUCACGUACAAUGUUUACUUGCAAGUUAGAUUCUCUUCAUGGAAAUGAUGCUUAAGAGAGAACUGAUUAACUAUCUUGAUUCUAGAAACACCAAACUGGCAAUACAAAAUCAACUGAAUUCCAUCUAAAUAACUUGUAUCCCUUAACGAUGAGAUCUCGACAUAAAACUAAGUUUCACUUUUUGCAUCCUUUAAUCAAGUGGAAGGGGCUUGUAUCCUUUAAUUAUGAGCAUAGUUAUUAAACCCAACCCGGGAGGGAACCCGGCGAACGAGGUGGGUCAACGGGUUACUGGUUCAACCAGUGGGUGAGUGGUUGAACCGGUGGGUCACUAAAUAUAUUUAAAUAUUAUAUUUCAUAAUUUUAAAUAUAAGAUAUAAGAUAUAAAUUGUAAUAAAUAAUGUCAUAGCAAAUACUCAUAUAAUUUAAUUUGCUAUAAAAUAAUUAAUUCAUAUAAGAAUCAAUAAAAUAUAAAAUUAUUUAGUAAUACACCAAAUUUUAAGUAUAAAAUUUUAUCUAUAUUCAGUGUAAUUAUCUAACUUAUUUAUAAGUUUUAAGUGCAAAAAAAUAUUAAAAAUAAUAUUUGUCUUUAAAAUGAAUUAUGUAAUAUGUUAUUUUUGAAGUCUAUUUUAUAACUUAUAGAGUUUGGGGGUCAUAAAUUUUUAUUAAAAGAUUCCAAAUAAAUUUGUUUUAGAGAAAUAAUAAAAAAGAUAAAAUUGAAAAAGGUUUAUAUAUUAUAAGUAAGAAACCUUAACACCAUAUUGUGAAGUAGCUUGGUGGUGUCUGCGUUGUUGCAAUGUUCAUACGUCCAAUGUUCGAAUCCCAUCAAAGGCAUAAAUUUUUUCUCAGGAACCCGGUUUGUAGACAAAAACCGGCCGGGUUUCCGAUUUAAUCCGGUCGAACCGCCGGUCCGUUGACUAGUCAACGGGUUGAUUGCUUAAACGAUCUAACUCAAAAUCCAGCCCGGUCCAAUGUCCGGUUCACCGGUUCGACCGCCGGGCCGGGCUGGGUUUAAUAACUAUGAUUAUGAGGUCUAGAGUUCAAAACCCAUAGGAAUAUAAAAUGACAACGUUGAGAGUGUUUCCCCUUGCAAGGCACUCGACGUGACUUGAACAGAAUUAGUUGCAAACCGUAAAAGGAAUGCGGAUACCUAUAUACAAAAUAAAAAAAAAUCAAUAGAAUUCCAGCAAUAACCAACAAUUGCAGGCUAUUGGUCAAGAACCUUGUCGUCCUAUAUUCAUGCCAGACAUCAUAGAUGUAAGUGUCUUUGCUUAGUUUCCAUUUUUCCUCCAUGCUGUUCCAGAAAUACACUGCACUUAGUGCACUAUAUUCCUGCUGAGGAUUCCUAUAAACAUUUGAAGCAUUGACAAUUUUUUUUCCCUGUGAAAAGCUUUUUGGAGUAAUGGAGGAGAAAAGUGAAAGAGGAACAGUAGAAAAUUAAAUGCAAAUGAAGAUGCCAAUGAAGAUAGGAUAAGCAUUUGCAACCCUGAAGGAUUAGUACUCAACCUGAUUGAUGUAGGGAAUGUGGCAAAUAAUAAAAAAAAUGCACUUGCAACAAGAAAUUACAACAAAUUAGAGGUUUUACAAUUGUGACCUAACCCAUCUAUAUAUUUGAUGGCGACAAUCCUUAGUGUUGCAAUUUUAAGGGUUUAUAAUAAUAAAUCCCCUUAAUUUCAUCUUUGUAUUCAUUUCCUCCCUCUAUGUCAUUUUCUCAUGACUUGAGUUUCUUCUACUGCCCACAAAUAUAAGAAUUUCAAUAAAAAAAAAAAUGCCUUAGUGGUUCAAAACAUAUUGAUUGCAAUCAAGAAAUUUCUCCAGAAACCUUAGUAAAAUAAAAUAGAGGGAUCCCCAAAUACAAUGAAUUGUAGAAAGCUACUUUUUUUUUAUACUAAAUUUUUAGUAAACCUAAGUAAUUUAAUUAACCCCAAAAGCAAUGAUAACAAAAUGUAUGCUUUAAUAAAAUUUGUUAAAAGAGCAUUUCUAUAUUUUUUGUCAAUUAAACUAGUCAAUUUUACCAUACUCAAUUCAAUUUUGCUUUCAACUAUACAGCCAGAUGCCAAUCUCUUGUACCAAAACUACAAUUGAUUAAGGUGAUUGCUUUAAUAUGUAUGUUAUUGUGGAAAAAUUCAAUGCAAUAGGCACGAACACUUCUAAUCUUGAAGGAAUAGUUCUACUUUUUGAUUGUACGCUAGUUUUAAUAAGAAACACCUCAAACAGUUCAAAAAGACAAGGCCAAAUGCUCUCUCUAAAGUUUGCAGAAUAGUUUACUAAGUUCAAUCUUAAACUUGUUUCAAUCAUCAUUUUUUUCCGCGGAACAAGGAACUAAAAUGUUUCGAGUGACCAGGAAAGUGAAGACUUGCAGGAUUGAUCUCCUAAAAUGGAAAAACACUAUCCAGGCAAACUCCAAAGUAAGAAUCAAUGACAUUAAGAGUAGGUUAGAGAGCUUGAAUAUGUCAAAUAUGGAGAACAAAAGGAUGAUCAUAUUUGACCUUAAGGAAUAGCUCAAAGAGGCAUAUAAAGAGGAGGAAUCUUUUUAGAGCAAAAAAGCUAGAGUGAACUGGCUAAGAGAGGAAGACAAGAAUACUAGUUUUUUUCAUGCUCAUUUGAGAGGGAGAAGAAACAAGAACAGAAUUUGUAAUGCUCAAAGAGAGGAUGGUACUUGAACAAAAAAUGAUGAAGAUCUAAUUUCUGAGAUUUCCAUGUUCUAUAUGAGCCUUUUUACUAGUGGAGGAAAAGAAGAUAACUCCGAGGUACUAAGGGAUAUUCCACACUCUAUUACUGAGGAAAUGAACUCCAAAUUGACAAAACUAGUGCAUGAGGAGGAAAUCAGGACUGCUGUUUUUUUUUUCAUGAAUCUAGAUAAAGCCCUUGGAAUGGAUGGAAUGACUCCACUGUUCUUCCAAAAAUUCUGGAAAGUGAUUAAAAAUGAUGUGGUUCAAGCUGUCCAAGAUUUCUUUGUGACUGGCUGCAUGCUUAAAUCUAUUAACCAUACAAUUAUCUCCCUCAUUUCAAAAUUUUGAAUCCAAUUAGCUUGAAAAACUAUAGAUCAAUCAUUAUGUGUACUGUCUUGUAUAAAAUCAUAUCAAAAAUUUUGGCAAACAGACUGAAACCUAUUCUUGACAAGUGCAUUUGUAAAAAUCAAUCUGCCUUCAUACCAGAUAGACAAAUCUUAGAUAAUGUAAUCAUUGCUCAGGAAUAUAUGCAAUAUCUGAAAAAUAAAAGGCAAGGAAAAGAAGGGUAUAUGGCUAUCAAACUAGACAUGACUAAAGCUUACGAUAGAGUUGAAUGACAUUUUAUUAGAGACAUGAUGACAAGAAUGGGGUUCUGUGAUAAAUGGGUAAGCUGGAUAUCAAGAUGCCUGAAGACUGUCUCUUACUUUUUCAACUGUAAUGGGGAAGUCUUAAGGCUUUGUAAAGCCAGGAAGAGAAAUAAGGCAGGAAGAUCCCCUCUCACCUUACCUGUUUUUGAUCUGCUCAGAAGGUUUCUUAAAUCUACUCCAAAGAUCAGUAGAAAGCAAAAAUCUGAAAGGCCUGAAGAUUAGUAGACAAGGUCCAAGCAUAACUCACCUCUCUUUUGUGGAUGAUUCUCUUAUAUUCUGUAUAGCUGAUGUACAACAAGCUAAGGAACUCAUGAAGAUUCUCCAAGAUUAUGAACAGGCCUCAGGACAGCUAAUCAAUCUAGAGAAAUCAUCAGUAUUUUUUAGCAAAAAUUUGACAUGCAGACAGAAACAAGAGAUUUGCAAUGCUUUAGGAGGAAUGACAGAAGUGAAACAAGAGAAAUAUCUUCCUAUGGUUAUUUCAAGAACAACAGAGCAGAUUUUUGGCUAUAUAAGAGAUAAUAUAAAGAGGAGGUUGGAAAGUUGGAAGAAUAAAUUGCUAAGUCCUGCUGGAAAGGAAGUCAUGCUCAAAGCAGUCACAAUGGCUAUGUCAACCUAUGUUAUGUCUUGUUUCAAGCUGCCUAGGAAACUCCUCAAGGAUAUCAACUCAAUUAUGACCAACUAUUGGUGGGGGGAAACUAAUGGCAAAAAUAAAAUGCACUGGAUAUCUUGGAGGAGAAUGGCUUAGGAUCGAUAGGAAGGUGGCUUGGGAUUUAAGGAACUAGAAGCUUUCAACAAAGCUCUACUAGGAAAACAGGUUUGGAGAUUAAUCACCAAACCAAACCUCAUAGUCAGCAAAAUUUUAAAAGCCAAGUAUUUUCCAAAGGAAUCAAUUUUUACUUGUAAAGUUCAGGAUAAUGCGUCUUGGUUUUGAAAAGGACUGAUAAAAGUCAGAGAGAUUGUGGAAGAAGGAAUAAGGAGGAGAAUUGGCAAUGGGAGAGACACAAACAUAUAGGAGCAUAAAUGGAUACCAACUUCUCCAUUAGGUCUGCCUACAACUCCAAGACCCCCAAACUGUAAGCUUGUUUUUGUACAUCAGCUAAUCAAUCAAAGUAGAUGGAACACAAAUGUAAUAUUCAGAUUGUUCAACAAGACUGAUGCAGAGAGGAUUCUCAGUAUUCCAAUUAGUCUUGCAGGUAGAGCAGAUUCCAAUUACUGGAAACACAGUGAGGGAGGCGAGUAUACAGUGAGAUUUGGUUACAAAAGAUUCUUAGAUGAGAGAUCAGGCAGCAAUAAAGGACAGGAAUCUGUUGGAACUAGUUUUGAUGCAGGCAGUAAUCAAAGCAAGCAAACUUGGAAUACACUGUGGAAGCUCAACAUCAAACACAAAAUUAAGGUGUUUAUCUAGAAGUGUAUUAAUGGAGUGCUACCAAUCAGAGAGGCAAUCCACAGGAAAGCUGCAAUUGGGGAUCCAGUAUGCAAGGGAUGCGGAGAGGAGCCAGCAACGAUAGAACACACACUUUUGCAAUGUCCUUUAGCAAACAAUGUCUGGAAAUUAGCUCCAGUUAUGUGGGAUGGAGCAAAAAACCAGAGAUGCAAUUUCACAAGGUGGUGGAGCAGGAUCACAGAAGCUAAAACAAGGUAAGAGGGUAACAACCAUAUUGGUCUUACUGCAAACAUCUUAUGACACAUUUGGAAAGAAAGGAACAAGAUGGAAUUUGAGAACCAAGAUAGACACCAACCAUCCUGUGUUAUUCAAAAAACACAUAAAGAAUGGUUGGAGAUGAAGGAAGUAAAUAGGAAGGAACCUGAUCAGAGUACAACAGAAACAAUGUCAGACCUGGAGGGGGAACAUGAGGUACAAGAGGACCAGGAUUUGAUAAGGCUGAGAGUGACAACAACGAACUUAUUGAGACCUGCUUUGUUGGGUAUUGGAGUUGCUAUCAACACAAUAUCACAUGAUGCAACAAAAUUCUGGGCAUUAAAGGACAGAAGCUACAGAAACAAGAAUACGGAUGUAGCUUCAGCAGUCAGACUAGUCUUGUGCAAAGCGCUGGAAAAAGGAUGGUGCAAUGUCCGAAUACAGCUCCAAAACAAGAAAGUGCUGAGACAAAUCAAGCAUGGUAAAUCAUCGGAUGGCAAAUUGGCAACGAUCCUAGAGGAUAUUUUUUACUUAAUGUCGUUGUUUCGAAUGUGCUCUUUUUGCUUAGAUAGUAAUGAUAAUAGUAACACUAUUGCUAAUGUUAGCUCAUAUGCCUUAGGUAUUUUGAUGGAUGGGAAAGGAUCUUUUCCUCUGUGUUGCUGAACACAAGUUGUACAGCUUGAUGAGCUGUUGCUCGAAUUGUAAAGUCAUCUUUUAGAUCAAUACAAGUAAUCUAACGUUUCGAGAAAAAAAAAAUCAUCAUUUUUCUCCGCAAAAUAUCUCUGCAAUAAUAAAGUCUCUAUAGGUGUUAACUUUGUUUGUUUUCAAAUUUUCCUCCAUCUCUGACACACAAAUCCUAUCCAAUCAAAAUUAUCUUCUUUCAAUUCUCAAGUUUUCCUUUAUUAACGAUUUUUUUACUUCCAAUUAUACAUAUUAAUACAUUUUUAUUACAUAUUACACAAAAUAAUUAUAUUCACUUGUACUAUUUUUAUGAUUCUUUCAAUUAAAAAUAUUUUUUGACAAGUUGCACACGUAUUGAGUGUGCCUUGAUAACUAGUGUAUAUUAAGUUGGUAACGCAAAUAACAGUUAAUAAGAUUUGAAAGAUUUAGAUCCCAUUUGAAUUGCAAUUUUUUAAAGUUUUUAUUAAAAAAAUUUACUAUAACGAUGUGUGAUGUAUAUAAAUUUAAAAAAAAGAAAAGAUAAUUGAGAAAUUUAUUAACACUAUAUUCCAAAAUUUUUCUACAAAGAAAAAUCACAAUCCAAUUGGGCUCUUAUAGUUGUCCGUUUUUUUUUUAGUUAAAAAGUUGUAAUAUUGUCUAUUAAAUCAAUUAUUUAAAUGAAACAUCACAGGAAAUAUAAUUAUAUUAUUACAAUAUAAACAUUAGUAACCAUACAACUUGUGGAAUUAUAUGGCUGUAUUUAACUUUGGAAAUAGAGAAACCUUCAGCAUUCGGAAGAAUGCUAUGUCUAUAUAGUAAUAAAUAAUUUAUCAGGAAAUUUGGAUUCGUAUGUAUCUAUUAGUAUUAUCAUAUACCGCAACUUUCUUUAUAAAUCCUUACCCAAAACGGCUACUAUGUUUGCCGCCACUGGAUUGUCUGCUGAAACAAUUAUUCCCUCAGCUGGGACAAUUCCUCCGGUCCUUUUCCCUAACUCCAAAACGGGAAAAAAAGAAGGAAAUUUCCAUUCUGGGCUUGGAAAAUUGCUAGUCUUUGAAGCUGUUCAUCAUCUGGUUUGUGGAGUUCCAAGAAAAUGACAAUCUAAAUUAAGGUUAUUCUUCUGUUUCCCUUUAAUCUAUUCUUCUCUUGUGAUCUAUAGUUUUUUUUAAAAAAAUUUUUUGAUGGGCUAAUUUGAUAACUAGUGGGAGAAAGUUACAUUUUGUAGUUGUGUUUGAGCUUAUUCGAUGUAGUCAUGGGUUUUCCUGAUGAAUUUUUUGGCAAUCGAGAAGAGGGCUUUUCUCUGUUGUGGCCGAUUCAUAUUCCAGUUGUUUCUUUUUUCCUACUAAUUGCAUCUGAUACCUGGCAAAAUUCGCAUACUGAAUGUAGGAGUGGUUCGAGAUGGAAAAAAAAAGGUGGUCUUUUAAGGCCUUCGUGAGAUUGGUUUUAACAACUGCUUGCAGAGACCUGCAACAAUUGAAAAAAAAAGUGUUUGAGCAUAGACAAGAAUAUCUGUGUAUGUCCUGGUUUUGAUUGGUCUAUCAAAGGAUUUUGAUAGGAUCAGUGAAAGUCAAAGUGCAAUUAAUUGAGAGCAAGAACUAGAAUCAGAUGGUAGUAAUCAAUUAAUUAAAGAACUGGAAGCAGGAACCAGUUCUGGAUAUUGAUUAUGUGAAGAAUAGAAUGAUCAGAGUGAUCAAUGGUUUUGCUUCUGCAAAUUACACUAUCAGAAAAGAACUGGCUACAAUCAACAUGGCUAAUCCUACCUCAUUAUACGUAGUUACAUAAUACAGCUGUCAGUUAGUUAUGAUGCUACGCUGACUAACUACUUGUGACUGCUGAGCCUGACUAGCUAUCAUCUUGACAACUACCAAGCUGUCCAAUCACGUAUCAGAUCAAUCUUAAGCUGAUGAUGAGCUAUACUCCUGAUGAUCAUGGCUUCAUCCACUAGUCUCUGAUUCUCUUACUUCUCUUGAUCAAGUGCACAUCUAUCAAGGAUUUCUUGUCUUGCUACAUGGUGCUCUUUGGAUCUCUAAUAUCGCUAAUUGUCUUUCGCCUUAACAUUCCAUUAACCUCCCAAACUUAUCCUACUUAGUUUGAAUGUGGUAUCUAGACAUUUUGUUUUCUAUUAAAAGUUAACACAGGAUGCUUACCAUUUUUUUGGAGCAUGCUAUUUUGCUUUCUAACUUUUAAUUCUGACGAUGAAUACCUCAAGAGUUCUACCUACGUCUAAUGAAAGAAUCAUUGUCUGACAUUUGUCUACUCAUGCACCUUUUUGUAAUUGAUUGUGUUUUCUAGAUAUAAUGUUUUCUUGAGAAUUGAGGGGUUUCUGGUGGACUUUCUCAUCUUUCAAACUAAGUUGUUUGCUUAAUGAGCUCGUUAAUAGUGUUUUGCUCCUGUAGUAUUUUCUUUUUUGGUGCUUAUGUUUGUUGAUAUUAUGACGCUUUUAGACUUGCUGAAUAUCUGGAGUAGCUCUUUAGCAGAUGCUCUGAGCUUUCGGUGAACAUAUACCACAAUGACUAUUGUGAGUGAUUGAAGUUUAUAUAUUAGCUAAUAUGUUCCUGUUCAAUUUUAGGGUCCAUCAAUAGCAGAACAUCAGGCUGGUUGCUUCCACAAAAGAAGCAUGUGUUAGGUGCUAGGUUUCUUCAUGCAAUAAGUUCUAAAUAUACAUUGUGUAGAAUAAUUGUGCUGAAAAAGUUGUCAUCUCUGUUUGAAGUUGCAUGUGUUUAAGCUAAUGGUUGGAAUACAUGGUUGAAAGGUUAAAAAAAAAAAGAUGGACCAUUUAUAGAGGCUUAGGUGUUUUCAGUUAACAGUUAUUUGGUGGUUUUUGGUUGUCUAGGCACUUUAGGGUUGCAAUUUCUAGUUCAAGAACAUAGACAUCAAUGGUAGAGUUAAAAUUGAGUUAAGACAGUUUAAGAUUGAAACCAUUGCUGGAGCAAAAAUUUUCUUAUUCAAUUGCUACUGAGAAGGAAAAGAAUGGGGAAGCCUAAAUAGACACACGUGAUUUCCUGUUACAUUCAGUUACUUAUUUUCCAGGUUUUCAGCAUGGUCAAGUAAGCUUACUUUGUUGUAUAUACUCUGCAUUCAUUUUGCAUAUCUCCGCCAUCUUUCCUGGAGUUGACUCUGGAAAGUUAAAGACCAUGAAACUGCUUAUGCUAGAUUUUGUCCCUGUUCAAUCUGAAACUGGUUGUAUUAGUUUUGCAAGAUAUGAUCUAGAGGUUAAAAUGGCUGCAGGUGGUGUUGUGCAUGAAAUCCUCAUAAUGCCCAUUUUCAGUGUGGAUAAGCUCUCUACAUGUAUGUUCUUUCAUCUCUCCCUCUUUCUUUAUAGAUGUGUGGAAGCCUCUGGAAAUAUUAGAUCCUCUUACUGUGUCAUAAGUGGUUCAAAUGUAGAGUAACUUCUCUCAGCAUUACAGCUAAAGUAAUAGCUACCAUAUAUCAAAUUUUUGCUCAUUAAGUUUUUGCUUCCGUUAAAGGGAAUGUUAAAAUUGAUAUAGUGAAGCAAACUAGAGAGUUGCUGGAGAGCAGUCUCAGACUCUUACAGGGUUGUGUUUAGUUUCAGGAUCCUUUCAUAGUUUGUAUUAUUAUUAUUUGUUUACUAGCCCGUGAGCAUACCAAGUAAGGAUUUUCUCAACCAUAGGUAACUAACCAGUCAAGCACUCAAAAUGUCAUAUGUCAACCCAAACAUAAUACUUGAGCUCAAACUAAUAUUCUCUGCAUCCAAAUUGACAACAAAAGCAAGAUGGUUCAACCAUCAAACUCAGAUAUGAGAUCAAACUUGGGGCUUAUAUGAGCAUAAACAAAAGAGACUAGAGGUAACUUCUCACUUAUUGGUCCUCACUCGACUUGCUUAUCCAAUGAAGGAAGCUUUGCACAUUUAUAGAAUUUAAAGUAUUGCAACACUCAUAAUAGUGGCUGGCCAAUGUUGUAGCUUGUAGUACGUUAAGACUACCGUUCUGAGUAGAUGUAUCUACGUAGUUUUAUAUGACACAUUUGUGAAGAAUUUCCCAGAGACUGAGAGGGAGUGGAGUUAAAGAUGUCUGAUAGUCUGUCUCAAUGAAAUUCUGGCAUCCAAUCUAACUGGUUAAAUUUGUUUUUAUAUCCAGCUCUUGGUAAAUAUGUCAGAAACUUUAUAAUCUGUGUUUAUUGCUUUCAUCUCAAAGUCACAUUCACUUUCUAUGAGAGAGACUUGACGUGCUGUCUUCUUGGCUCUCAUCUGUAAGUCAUAAAACAGCACUCUAUAGGACAGAGCGAUUGCAGCAAUGGAUUUACAAAAAGCUUUAUAUCUAAAUUCCUUGGGCCAACCACUAGGAUCAGAGAGUAGUUCUUGAUUCCAUUUCCCUGAUUCCUCUCUUGUUCAUCCUCCAUGUACUUCUUUACAAUGAACUUGCUGUAUAGCCAAUUUUUCAAGUCUUUAGGGUAAUAAACUUUGUUGUCUACAUUAGAAUUUUCCUCAGGACAGGUGAGGUUGUUAAGUGGAAAGGAAGUCAAUUGAGGGUAGAGUUGGGAAGCUACUAGCUCUAAUCUCAUGUCCAUAUGUCUAUAGGAGUCACUUAUGCCUAAGUUUGGUUUUAUGUGCUGAGCAUGACGGCAUGAAAUCUUCGAACUGUUUUUUUGGUCGGUCGAGAAUCAUUUCUUCUGUUAUGUUCUAGAACUAUUUGGAAAAAUUAAGAAUUGGUGUUUUGAAGUGGAAAUGAAAAUUUGGAUAGGUAACAAAAAUGUGGAUUCAAACUAGGACAGGAUUAUAUUAUUUUCCACAAUGUAGUUAAACUUGUGAUGGGGAUUUACAGGAAAAGAUGAACCUAUUUUAUUUGUUCUUGAAUAUUGAAUACUGCAGCUCACAUAGCAGGCCACAAAAAUUUGGCCGUUCUUUGGUAUCUCUCUAGCUUACUUCACUAAUACUUGCUCACUUACAUGUCAGUCUCGAAAUGAUGUAACGAAUGGUUUUGCUAAAAAAGACACUUGAUUACUAUAGGCUGUUAACUUUUUCAGAAACAAUUUAUACAUGCCUGCCCAAAAUUGUGUUUCUGAAUAGUUUACUACUUCUGACUGUCAUGAUGAUGGUCAUUGAGCUAGAUGUUUUUAGAGGGUUUCUAACAUGCUAAGCUAUGAGAAUGAUAUGGUAUUGAGUUCACCCAUUUCACAUAUUAGAGGAGGUUGCUCUCAAAUGUUUCUUGAAAAAUAAAAUGACCCAUUCCUGAUUUCUAUUGAUUACCUAGGACAUAUUCUUGGAUUUGGGCCCAAGUUCCACCAUGCAUUUUCAUGCUUUUAACUUGCAAUUUGCAAAUCUUGUAAAGCCGAGGUUAGGUAAUGAAUUUAUUGCAAUAACUAUUGAAAGUAGAAGAGAAAACAUGUGGUAAAGAGACUUCAAGUUACAAUGUUCAGAGAGUAAUGGGAUGCAGAAAGCAUGUUUGAGUACUGGUUUAGCCUCUUGCAUUAUGAUAUCUGCUAUGCUUCCAGCUUUGAAAGGUAUUCCCAUUUUCAAGUCAAUGGUACUUAUCCUUCUUCAGAGAUUUUACAAGCCAACUUUUUUUUUUUCAGUUCAUGAAGAACCAAUAUACUCAUUUUACCUUGUCAAGAUUGGGGGAAAACUUACAUCCAUCUGUAAUGCAUUUUGAAUAGUUUGGUGAUCAAAUAUUAUGCGUAAUUUGUUCUAUAAGUAACACUGCAAUUAAUUUGCAUAUGACCAACUUGAUAGAUUAAGUUGUUGAAAGCAUCAGUUUUUUCGUAAGUAUAAUUAGUUUGUGCUUUUCUUUUUCUCUUUCUUUUUUAUUUAAAAUUCUCUAAUUCUUCUUUUUAACUAAAAUGAUAAUUUCAUAAUUAAACAUCACCAAAAUGAAGUUAUUACUCAAAAUCAGACAGUAUUCAAGGAAGUUAUUUUGGACAUCAAAAGAAAUCAAUCAUAGCAGAGGAUAACAAAAUAAAUUCACAUUACAGGAGUAAACAAAAUGAAGCCUCGUUUUAUAAGUGAACAUGUCUUUUUUUUUUUUUUUAAUUGUUUUUUGGUAAGUGGGAGGUCUUGAACCAGGAGCUCCUACUUACAAUUGCUCCCAUUUUAUCAACCAACCCAACUGUCCCCCUCUAUAAGUGAACAUGUCUAGAGACAGAGAACUUGGAAAUGGCUAGGUCUCUAGAAUGUAAUCUUCCCAAAUAGACGAGGCUGCCUUGUCUAUUGAGAUUUAUUUUUAUGAAUUAAUUAGAGUGAGCUUUACAGUUAGAUCUCUAUAAACAAUCUUUUAGAUAGCUGCUUAGAAUUGUCAUGAUGAGCCUGAGUUUGUGUAUAUCUAAUACAUAUCAGAGAAGGUAGUUUAAAUUUGAUACCCUCAAUGCAACCUUUUACGUUUUGGUGUUGACCCAAUGUUGUUGGAUUCUAAAUAGCUGUGGAUGCUGAAGACUGGUUUUAGCAUGCCUGGAUGCAAAGGUAUAAAAUCGAAGGAUUGCUUUAGCUGUCAUUGUUUUGGUGUAGAAGGCAGGGUGGGAACACAGAAGUUCAAAGGCUUGAGAAUGUGCUGAACCUAGCUGCCUCGGAAAUGAGCGCUUGGCAAAACCACCAUCACAGUGAAGCAUUGGUGUUUUGUUGCAGAUGUCUUCUCUUAGAAUAUGGAGACAAGUAUUACAUGUAUAAAAUCUAGCAUGAACUUUUCACCAUCUGACUGUACAGUAUCCCUCUUCCACAUGUAGCAUUCACUCUCUGUAAAUAAUACUGUUACCUAUUAAGAAAAACUCGGAAUCUGAUAAUUGAGCACUCGAGUGAUAGGUCACUUGUGGAAAUUGAAGUUUAAUCAAGAUGUGCAUGUAGAUCAAAUCUUGAAAAAUGUACUUUUCUUUCCCAUUAAGAGUUGUCUCUUAGGUUUCCUCUUUUCUUUUGCAUAAUAAGGCUUUUUUUUUUUGUGUGGCUAAAAAUAAAAUCCAGGUUUAUCAUUGUAAGUAGUACAAUUUGUACAAUCUCCUCUGGCUCCUGUUUUUAUCUUCACCCUAAAAACUUAUGCAGCACUUUCUGCUGGGGGACAAGUUCCAUUGAAUUCCUCCUGAUUUGCUCUCUUUACUAUUGCUGUAACUCUAAGCUGGUCUUCAUUUUGGGAAAACUGGUUUCUCUUGUGUGGAGAACUCACAUGACGAACAGCUAUAGACAUGUUCAAGGUGACUCUAGAUUUGCGAAACACUUACCUCGGAUUGCUGUCACUUCAUGUUUCUUUCCGUGGGCUUGGUUCUUGUAUGAAUUGAAAGUAUAGGCUAUAGCUCUGUCCUGUCAUAACUUAUAUGGGCUACACCUAAAUUCAGGUUCUUAGUGAAAUACUUCAAGUAAUUUUCAGGUUCUUGGGCUCUUGGUCACCAAGACGUCUUUAAAUCUUGGUAGAGGUGGGAGGUCAAGGGUUUGAUCCUUGCCUCCUAUCAGCCACUAUUUGUGGCUUCUCCCUCCCUCUUCCUGUAGAUUAGGUUAGAAUGGAUUAUACAAACAGUUAUCGUUGUUGGCAAAAAAAAAAAAAAAGUAAUUUUUAGGUUCUUAAUGCAAUCAUUUUUUCUAAAAAAUUAAAUGAUACCCGUUGGUUCGAUCCUAUCUCGGCGAGUACCCUAUAAUCGGGUUUCCGUUGAUAUGCAGGGCAGAUAAGAAUCAAAAAAUGGUUGAUCCGUAAAAUAUGAGUCAGAUCAGUCAAAUGAUGGACGGGCCGAGUACGGCCCGCUCCCAUUCCUGCUACCUAAGUAGCUGCCAUAAAAGACAGUACUUGGAUUGCAUAGUUUUGAAAUAAAAUAAUUUACUUUACAAAUUUCGAUUACCUUUUUAUCUUUUCAAUCACAUUUUUAUUUCAUAUAUAUCACAUCACAAAAAGUGUUACAGUAAUUAUCUCAAAUAAAUCAUCCAAAUAAACUCCUAUCCAAACAAACUGUAUAAUCCUGUGGAUUCUAAUAAGUAGUAGCCCUCUCCAGAAAGGACCAAAAGAGUAACCACAGAGGGCCCUCUUACUGAAGAGGGAUACAUGAGCAUAUUUGGGCUUUAACUGAACCAAAAGCGUUUUCGCAUACUGCGUAGUUUUCUAGGCAUUCACUACAUACUAGAUAAUGCUGCGGUGUUACCCAUACCCCAGUUUUGUACUUUCAUCAUGAAUGGUCUUUUACAAGUGGAGCAACUUCAAAUUCUUCUUCCCUUCCCUGCUCGGCUUGCCCUGUGGGGGUUCUUUCCCACAUCGAUAAUAGGGGGUUUGGGAAUGGGUAGGUAAGUCUCUUGGACGCCUUCAAAAGUUACCGGCUUUUGAAGGUUGCUCAGAAAUCUAGGUUUAUCUUGCCGAAUUUUUGAGUUUCUUCAAGAAAAUGUCAGAAAAAAAGGUCACAACUAUUUGCAAUGGAACAAACUGAAGGUUCAGGAGAGAAAAAAAUGUGAACCACUGAAGUUCUAAUGAUCCUUAAAAAGAUCAUAAAGUUCUUCUUGAAUGUGUGUCGUCUAAUUGGCUUACACAAUAAGGUUUAUGAACAGAAAGGAUAGCUGGUUCUUGGAUUUUUCAACAAUCACUAAUUUUCCAAGAACAUGGCAAAAAAAAAAAAAAAGAAUAGUAUGACCACAGAGUUUUUGUUUAUUUAUUUAUUUUUUUAUUUGACUGAGUCAGAUUUUAUUAGUAACUAAAAUGAAAUACUACCAAGUAUAAGUGGCAUACCCCCGGCACCGACAAGAAACGAGAAGGCAAAAUUGCAUCACUGAUAGACUUAUCAACGAAAGACCCCAUACAAGUCUAGGACAAACUUAUCAACAAACCUAGGAAAGUCAAAAUGGAUUAAUUAAUGGAUCAUUUGAUGAGGGUUCAUAUUAAAUGUUUGGCGGAUAAUAUUAACCCAACCCACUUUAGAUUCAUUAAGCUCUCACUUAAUUUUCCCAAAAUCAUUCUCUUACUACUACUAGGUGAAUAGAUAAUUGAGAUCUUUACUUGUAAAACUCGUUUUUUUUUUUUAAAUUUUUUGAAUUCUUUUUUUUUUUAGCACCAAAAAAAGAAAGAGUUAAAAAAAAAAACAAAAAUAAAACGGGUUUUACAGGAUGUGAAUGGCUAGACCUUCCACCAGCAUUAAAAUCACCUCCGGAAAAAGAAUGCUCAUAUCGUUUGAUAACCACGAGGAGUCAUAGCUGAGUUGGAAACUUCCUUUUCAGUACAAAUGAAUGUAUAUGGAUCCACAUUGAUUGUAAAACCACCAUUUUAAUGGGUUAAGUUGGAUAAACCAUUUAGAUCCAAGAUACAUUUUUUUUUUCUCAUCCAAAUCCAUUAAAAGUGGAUGGAUCAGGAUGGAUAUAUGGUUUUGGAUUAAAAUUGCCCCCAAGGAGUUAUUUUUCUUGGAAGAUUAACAUGCCAGUGAUAUCAGGUACGUGGCUCAUAAUUGGAAGCUUAUAUCUGCCCGCUAGUUCUGGAUGAUGAUGGAGCAAAUUGGCAGGAUGAGCGCUUAGGUCCAUUGAUAACUUCUAUGUGCAAGUAGCAGCAAGCUAGUCAGAUACAACAUGGUAUUACGAACUUCCUGUCCUUUCUUGUCCAAACGAUAGCUGCCUUACUUAUUAUGAUGCUGCAUAACAACGAAAGAAAAUGAUUUUUGCAACAGUCCAUCAAAUUUUGUUCAUCUGCAGUCUCAUUCUCUUUGGUAGAUGGAUAUUCCUGCAAUCCAUGUGGAAUGCAGAAGCUUUUAAGAGAUCUAGUUUCCAGCUGGGAGUGAUGUUGACUGCCGGAGAAAAAUCUCACGGGCCUAAGAGUGCGGGUGAGUGCCCUGCUAGAAUGCGACUGUAGGGUCAUUUUCCCGUUAGUUUCUAGGUGAUUUUCUAUCGUCAGUGCCCGGUUAAUUUUUUUUUUUUUUUUUCACAUUUUUCAGUUUGUUAUAACUGAGUUCCAACAUGCCAUGCCCGGGACAUGGCCAGUGAAAGAUAUUUCUUUACCUGUCUAUUCUUCUUGCCUUUAUUGAGAAAAAGCAGUGCAUUGAGUGCAUUUGCAAAAGCAAAGUUUAGGAAAGGAUUUUGGAAAAGGGAGAGACAAAAGAUACCUUACCUUAAAGCAAAAGAGGGAUAAAAUUUACUGCUGUUGUAAUUUCUCGUGUAGAAGUAGCUGAUUGUAGGAUAUGUUUGGGAUUUUGCUGUCCUCCUUUUACCUCUUAACAGGCUUUAGGGAGUGAUCUUGUCUAUCUAUAGCUAGGUGCCAUUUUUUUCCCUUUGUUUUCUUGAGUUGAUUUUGUAACAAUCAUCGAAAGCAAGAGUAUAGAACUAGCUAUCGUGAACCUAUAUGCUAAACUAAAGUUUCAUUUGUAAACAGACUAUUGCACAUUCUACAACCAAUUGUUCACUUGUGUUGAAUGCUACAUGAAAAUUUAGAACUCACCCUUUCCUCUUCUUUGCUCCUGUCAUCCAUAUAAAAGAAAAUGACAAAGUAAAAGAGGAUAUUUUGAAAGCCUAAAAGAGGACUGGUUUUUGAGUGAAGCUUUUCCAAAACUAAAAACUGGCUUGGCAAAGCUGAAAUUGAUGUACCAUAUAGAGACUGCCUCAAAUAUGACACUGACAUAUACGGAUGAAGUUAGAAGUUGAUUGGCAUCCUUAAACUGAUUGGUAUGGGCUUUAAAAAGGACGUUGUGGCUCAUGAAGAAGACCAAAUAUAUUGAAUCCCAACUGAAAACCUUUAUUUACUUUUUAGCUUAUAAUAGGCUUUUAUUUCAAGUUUGAAAAGGAAAUAGAAACUAAAGAAUGCUCACUGGAACUGGCCCCUCGUGCAUUAAAAACGUUAUGCUGAUGUUUAUCAUGUUAACAAACUCGUACUAGUUGUCAUGUCGGUUUAAUAGUUUGCAUUACCCUUUAGGUUGUAUGAUUAAGGGAUUUCUACUCUUUAGGGUGUUUAAUGAUUGGAGGAAAACAACGGGAAAAUGAAUUUUGAGAUCGAGUUGGAAAUUAUCAAACGGAUGUCUCAGGAUACAGACAAUCAAAUUGCUGGACAAGACUAGACAGGCACCAACAACUAAUAGUUUUCCUAAUCUUGGUGAUAAACGUUGCUCAUUAAUGUCAAUCAAUAAUUAUCUCCACACGCGGGCAGUAACUGCAUACUUUAUCAUUGAUUCAACAAUCGUUGAAAAAGCUAAAGAUUUUUUUUUUUUCUUGUGUUUCUUUUACAUGUAUUAUCAACUGAAGUAAAGUUGCUAAGGCGCAAUCCCAUUAUACCCAAGUACUUAGGUAUCACGGAUGUUCCAAGCAAUCAUGAAGAACUUGCUAGUCCUUCCUGAUCGAUCCCAAGUAAGUCGAGGCCAUGAAUCUCCAAAAAGCUAAUUUUUUUUUUCUUUUCGGCAAAAUGGGGCUUACUUGAUUGGAUAUACCAGAGUUAAUUCUGCAUAAUAUCAAGCCUUUUCAAUAAAAAAGAAAUGAUUUGUUGUUUUCUCCUCCUUUUCUCACCAUCUGUUUUUGGCAUUCGCAAUUUCUCUAGGAGCAGAGUAGGUCCUUGCCAACAAUAAUCGAAGACAGCGCGGUAUGGGAAUAUGAUUGGCAGAUUUCUACAUCACAGUAGCAGCAGUACUGCAUGCAUCGAUGCAACCGUGCGCUAGAUACAAUCACUUGUAUGCCAUGUCUAACCAGAUUUGGCACAAUAAUUAUUUCUCUAUCAAAGUAUGGAGAUAUGUAUCUCAGUUUGAUCAAGCAAAAUGGGAAACAUGAUAAAUUUUUUCUUUUCAAACGAACCAAAAUGAAUGGGCUUAAAUGGUUCAUGAAGAUUUUCUAAAGUUUGAGUUGGAUAUGCCUGUCCUCAUGGAUUGCCUACACUUUUUACCAUAACUGGGGACUGAAAUAAGGAAAAAAAAAAAUCCACCGUGAGAAUAGAGAUCAAGUAAAAUCACGUUUCCAAACUCUAAAAGCGCUAACAAUGGCAGAAAAUCGAUGCUUUAGCAACAAAUACUUCUCUCUAUCUAAUAUAUGUUUAAGAAUUUUAGUAGCAUCAAGACACGGUAAUAUUAAAAGUUAAGGACAAGUAUAAGGAUAUUGCGUGAGUUUCUGAAACAUAGGAUCGAGGUAAAGAUGUCUAAAAUUUAGGAAGAUAAAAAUAGCCAUAGGUUUGAAAGAAUAGUCAAUAAGGAUAGUCUCCAACUUUAGUCAUAGUGUCUCUAUAACUUCCCAUUUUUCAUUUGUUUUAAGGGUAAAUUUCACUUUGCACCUUUCUAUAGACCUGAAUUUUCACUUUGAAUCCCAAUUUUGAUACUGAAAUGCUUUACUCCCUCGAAUAUAAAAUAUGUUCUACUUAAAUAAAAUCUGUCCCAUUUUAGUUUUUAAAGUAUAAAUUUUUUUUCCACUAAAGUAUACAAUUUGUCACACUUUAGAGACUAAAGUAUAAAAAAAAUUGAUAUUUUAAGAAUUAAGGUGGAAUAGAUUUUAUUUAAGUAAGAUAGACUUUAGAGACUACAGUGUCCAGUUUAAAGUUGAGAGAUCAAAGUAAAAGUCUAAAUAUCAUUGAAAGAUGCAAAGUUGUUAGCACAAAAAAUCGUGCAGCGAAAUUAACAUUAAAAUCUUACAAUAAUAAACAAUAAAAAAGGCACGCGAGGAAGAAAAAUAUUCUGCUUCAAUUCAUUAAUUUCCUCGAACUACAAACCUAGGACUGCAAGUGCUUAAAUAAAGAAAUAUAACCACAAAUUCUAUUCUAAUGAUAAUACUAAAAUAUGACAACUCUGUUUCUCAAACCAAAUAUGACUUAACUCUAUAGCAGUAUAGCUCACACGUAACUCUAAUUUAAUUGUUAUCUCCAACUUCACCGAUAGGAGUAGGACAUGCUUGUACUUUGCAUAUAAUUCGACAGCCAAUUCGCUUGAUCAAAAAAUUCAUCCAUAUUGACCCAUUCACUAUUAGAGUCUCCAUAUUUUCUUGAAUAAUAAUAAUUCACACUAUUUUCAACCAAUAAAUCAUGGCUUCCAUAAUAUUCUUUAUGGCAAUAAUUUUCGCCGUAAAAAUUUUCAAUAGACUCAAUCACCUCAAAAAUAUUGUCAUGCACAUCUUCAUUCAAAUCAAAACUUUCACUAACAAUUUCUUUUUGCUCUUCGUCUACAACCAAAUUAAUGCAUUCACUAACAAAUUCUUCUUCAUCAAUCACCCAAACAAAGUAUGCAAAUCAUAAUUUUCAAUCAUAUAAAAAAUGUCGAAAAUCUCUUUGUCAUCAACAAACACAUCCUCUUCUAAAUUAACUGCCCAUUUCAAACCAAUUUUUGACUUAUGAUUAGAUUCAUAUGGAAAUUCUAUCACCAAAAUAUAAAAGAGAUCUGACUAAAACUAUUGAAAUGAUUCAGAAGAGAUGAUAAGUCUUUUGUAAUACUCUUCAACCAUUGAUUUUCGCAUUAUUUUGAAAAAUAAUUUGGCCUUCCUUCUCUUAAUUUCUUUUGAUGGACUACUAUUUAAAUUGAUCUCAAGAAAUUCACCCAAACAACACCUUUUAAGAUAUUUGUGUACUCCCUCCGUCCCGUUUUGUUAGUCUUGAUUUUUUUUCACACAGAUUAAGAAAGUGUAAUUAAUUUGGUUGGAAACAUAAAUUUAGAUUAGUAAUUUCCUAAAAUACCCUUAUGCUAAUCACGAAGAGUGCCAAUUAAUAUCAGUUACAGCUAAUGGGUUAGUAUUGGAAAAGUUCAAUGUAUUCAAUGUAGUGGGUUAGUAUUUAAUAACAAUGUAUUAAUAACAAGAUAUUUAAUAAGGGUAUUUUAGACAAUUUGAAAGAUUACUACAUUUCUUAAUGGGAAAGUGGACUACAAUUUGGGACAGACGAAAAAGGAAAACAAGACUAUCAAAGUGGGACGGAGGGAGUAUUAUUCUUGACCAUUCAGAUCUUUCUUUAUCACUGCUAAGUGUGCAUAAAAUUUAAAAUUUUUCAUCAUUGGUAAAUUCUCUCUCCAUAACAAUUCAAAACAAUUUACUUACCUUCACAAAUAUUUUUUUUCCUUGCUUGAAUUUCUUAGCCUCUCUAGCUUUAGAUUUGAUCAAAGACCACUGUGAUAACCAACAAUUUGAUAGGAUUUUUUUUUUCUGAUUACUACACAAUACCAACAAUGUCAACAGAGUCCUCUUUUUAGACCUCUGUCCAAUUAGAUUCACUUUUCCCCAAUUCCAAUCAAUGAAUGAGUACACUAAGACUAACUCUUGUGGUUGAAUUUUUUUAAUAUACAAGUACUCUACCACAAUUUUUGUACCCUUGUAUGGCACAAAUUUCUCCAUCAAAAACUUUGCACACCCUUCAGACACCAUAGAUACCCCAAGAUCAAACUCUUAAAAUUAGGAUUCUGAUACCACUUGUUAGUACAAAAAAUCACGCAGCGGAAGUAAUAUUAGAAUCUUACAAAUAAUAAACAAUAAGAAAAGCACAUGAGGUAAUGAAAUAUUUUGGUUCAAUUCAUUAAUUUUUCUCAACUACAAACCUAGGACUCCAAGUGCUUAAAUAGAGAAACAUUACCACAAAUCCUAUUUUAAUUAUAAUACCAAAAUAUAACUCAACUCUGCUUUCUAAACCAACUAUAAUACCAAAUUUAAUAUACUUACCAAAUAACAAAUCAAUUUUUAAAACUAUUAAAAUUCCAAAUAUUCUUGGUUUAAAAUAUGUCAACAAAAGUGAAAUUAAUCCUAUGUUUAAUUACGAUUUUACCUAACAGAUAAUCGAAUUAGUUUUCAACGAACGGCCGAGUCAUGUCAAAUAAGAGGGCAAGAGAAAUGAAUAAUUCCCCGAAGAAAGUCUCCUUUGGAACUAACAUUUGAACUGAGGGUCCAACAAGUGAAUUCUUACACGCCAAAAACAAACCUUUACAGCCUCUUAUAAAUGCUUGCCUUCCCCGUUACUUAAUCAAAAGCCAAAUUGUACGAAAUUCAAUGUACAGGAGAGCUAACUCUAAAUAGUAAAUGUGGAAAUAAGCAGUUGAUGUAGGACCUAUCUAUGUUACUUCAGGCAAGAUGGCCCUUAUUCUCUUUGUCUGUAGACUUCAACCAGCUUUUAGAUCCCGGUAUGGUGGCUUUUGGGAUUUUGCCACAGAUUUAGAGGGGGAAAAAAAAAAAGAAAACAAAAUGAAGAAAUAUACGGGAAUAAAGAAGUAUUAUUUGGAUUAUAACUUUUUUAGGAAAAAUUUUUGGGAAAAUGACCAGUUUCAUCUCUUAUAUUUCACAAAAUUAUUCUUUUCAUCCCUCACUUUUAAAACGAAACAAUUUCAUCCUUGACAUUUAAAAAUAGAAGUUAUUACGUCCCUGAACCUAAUUUUCAAUAUGAAUCAAGCCAUCAUCAACCUAAUUACAAAUUUUGGGGGUAUAAUUGGUAGAUCACUUGACUAACUCAACUUGAUAGUUACGUGAAAUUUAAUGAAUCCAAAAAUAAAAAAUAAAAAAUUAUAACAUAAAAAAGAAGAAUGAAUCUUUCCUACAUUGUCAUUGUAUAUACUGACGGGUUUAUGUACCUGCCACAUCAUUUCAAUUUAAAUUUAAACACCAAAAUUUGUAUUUAUGAUAUACAUAUAGACUCGCAACCGUAUAUACUAACGGUACAUGAAAAGAUUUACCCAAAAAAGAAACCCUAUUACUCCAAGACAAAGAAUGACAUUUUAUAUUAUACUUUUUAUUUUUUUUUUUUGUUUCAAUAAAUGUCAUGUGUAUAUGAUGGAGUUCACGGAAUGAUCUAUCAAUUCUAUCUCUGAUAUUUAUUACUGGCUAAUUGCAUGGCUUGAUUCAUAUUGACAAUUAGGUUUAGGGAUGUAAUAGGUUUAAUUUUUAAAUGUCAGGGACAAAAUUGUUUCGUUUUAAAAGUGAAUGACAAAAAGAAUAUUUUUGUGAAAUGUAAGGAAUGAAAUAGAUAUUUUACCCAAAAUUUUUAUAUUUUUUGUGAAUAUAUUUUUUUUAUCAUUUUUUUUAUCUUACAUAUAUCAAUUUAUUAUAAUAUAUUUUUUAUAAGAAUUCUUAAAAAUAGCAAUCGAAACAGAACUGUGACCACAAAAUUGAAGUUGGCAAAGCACUGUGCCAUUCGAGCAUAUAUAGUACGCGAAUUUUGGUCUGCAUGGUAGAGUAAUAUGUCAAUGUGGAAUGCUUUGCAAUGGACAAUAACUCCUUUUCUUUUGGAAACUAAAAUGUCAAAUACCAAUACGAAAACUCAUGAUAAUAUUUCACUAUCCCCCUAUUUUAUAUCUUUGUGACUUCUUCAAUACUUAUUAAGACAUUAAGGAGCCAAUUUCGGAAGUUGAGAUUAAUGCACUUGUAUUUGAGCUAAUAAAUAAUUUUUAUGGAGUGAACUCUAUAGAAUUCCUAAAAUGGAAAAAAAAAGAAAAAGAAACAAUUGACUACAAGGAGAUUGUAAGAAAGAAUGCAAUUGAUAUUACAUGCAAUUUUUUCCCUCAUUACUGUUCUCUUUCAAUUUAUUCUUCUCAAUUUUCUUCGUUUGUCAGACUGUAUACAAAAUUGACCAUAAUAUAUAAAAUAGAGCGGAGAAAUUAAUGAGUAGUGUACAGAAAAAAAAAAAGACAAAAGAGAGUCUAUGUGAUAAUGUCAUGCACUUUCCUAAAUCGCAAAAGACUCGUUUAUUUGCACUUUAGAUAUGCUUAUCUUUUUACUUGCAUUCUGAUUGGACUUCGAACUUAGAAGUGAACCCUUCUCUCCAUUAAGUUGGUUUUUAUCUACUUUAGCAAGUUUUCAAAAGACUGGAGAUGGUUAAAGUUCUUCGUUUUGCAGGAGUAGUUUGCCUUUAAAGUUGUGAUUCGAUUCUUGUUUUUAACAAACUGCAAUGAUUAUUGGGACCCAUAAUCUUCAAAAAUAUAUUUAGGGAAAAUUUCAGAAACCUCCCUUGAGGUUUUAACAAUUUCAUUUAGCUCCCUCAAGGUUUUAAAAUUACACAUACCUUCCUUAUCAUUUAAAAUGACAAUACUACCUUUAAAUAUUUUAAUAAAGUUCCCUUGUUUGGUAUGCUUAUACUUAGAAUGACUUUUAAAAUUAUUUUUCAUUAUUUUUCCUUCUUAUUCUUUUUUUAAAUUUUUUGCCAAUAAAAUUGUUGAACUAGUACUAUUACCUAUAGUUUCUAUUGUAACCAAAUGUCGAAAUAGUUUUUUUAUGAGUUAACUUAUAUGUAAUCCAAUAUUUUUGCUAAUCUUUAUUUUCUAUCUUUUAGUAUUAAAAUUAAUAAUAAAUAAAAAAGAAAUGGCCCUAAGCCCCUACUAAAUUAUGAUAAUCCCACUACUCGAAAAAAUUCAUAAACUCUAAAUAAAUUACUUCAACAUUUUCUUUUCUAUCUUAUAAAUCUAAAUCUAUAAUAAAAUAUUAUCAAAAAUAUCCUAUCAUAGUGAUAAAAUUACUAUUAUAGUUGUUUAUCAAAUAGUAGGUAUGGACAUGAAAAAUUUGGCAUAUUUUCUUUAUAAUUAUAUUAGAUAAUCUUAUAAUUGUAUAGGAAAAUAAAUUAAAACUCAUUACACAUGGGCAUUUUUGGGUAUUCAUUUAAAAAUUUGACUGAGUCAAUAUUAUUUUAAGGUUUUGUUACUAAAAGGGAAAAUUGUUCAAAACAUCCCUCAUAUUUUGUAAAAUGACUUUUUUCAUCACUUACUUUUAAAAGUAUAAUUUUAUGUCCCUUACAAAUUCACAUUGAUCAAAUUUGGUUUCUGUCUAGGUUUUCAACUAGUUUUUUAUCAGAAUUCAUCAUGUGCUUUACGUGUGAUCAUUUUUAGGGGCAAAAUUGUCAAAUUAAAAUUUAUAUAAUCCAAUCCAUAACCUCUCACAUUUGACAAAAUAAAUUUUUUUGUCCCUUAUAUUUCAGAAAAUGAAUUGUUUCAUCUCUCAUAUUUUACAAAAUAAAUUUUUUCAUUCCUCGUUGAUCAUGUGUAUGAAUAAUUUUUUUUAACUCAUGUAUAUAUCUAUUUGAUUUUACCUGAACAAUACGAAUAGUAUCUAAUGUAUCUCUAUUUGAUUUCAUCUAAACGUAUUGUUCAAAUGAAAUUAAAUAGAUAUAUACAGGGAAUUAAAAAAAUUAUUAGUUUUCACUCAUGUUCAUUUCCUUUUAUUUGAAAAUUAAAAAUAAAGAAGAAAAAAUUAACAAAGGAAAAGUAUGAUAAAAAGAAAUAAAUGAUUGACACUUUCAAAUUUUAAAACAAUCACAAGGCAAGAAAUUCAACUAUUAGUUUAAAGGAGACGAGUAAAAAUUUCAGAUUUAAACUAUAAUUUAUUAGCAUGACUAUAGAAUUCGAUUUAGCACCGAUUAAUUAUAUGGCGUUAUUACACAAUUCAAUAAAUGAAUUAUUAUCAAAAGAGAAAAUGCUAUAAAUAUUGAGUAGAUUCACAUAGUGAAAUCAAAUAGAUAUGUAUAUAUAUAUAUAUAUAUAUAUAUAUAUAUAUAUGGGGUUUAAAACAAAAUUGUUAGUUUUAAAUUCAUGUACAUAUCUAUUGAAUAGCAUGUAUAUAACUAUAAUUAGUCUGUUUAUGUGAAAUCAAAUAAAGAUAUAUUACAUACUAUUCAUACUAUUCAGAUAAAAUUAAAUAGAUAUAUACAUGGAUUUAAAAAAAAACUAUUCAUACAUAUGAUCAAUAAGAAAUGAAAAAAUUCAUUUUGUGAAAUAUGAGGGAUGAAAAAAUUCAUUUUAUGAAAUGUGAGGGACAAAAUAAUUCAUUUUGUGAAAUAUAAGAAACUAUAGAUCAAAUUAUGUAAUUUUUGAUUUGAAAAUUUUACCCCUAAAAAUGAUCACAUGCAAAGUAUGCGACGAAUUUCGACCAAAAUCUAGUCGAAAAUCUAGAUGGGAAUCAAAUUUAAUUAAUGUGAAUUUGUAAGAGACGUAAACUUACAUUUUUAAAAGUGAAGGAUAAAAAAAGUCAUUUUACAAAAUGUGAUGGACAUUUUGAACGAUUUUUCCUUACUAAAACUAUCAAAUCAAGGGAGGUAGGUAUUUCCAAACCUGGAGGGAGCUCACUGAAAUUGUCAGAAACAGGGAGGUUUCUAAAAUUAUCCCAUAUAUUAAUUUAAGAAAGCAAUGUCUUUGGUCCAAAAAAUAAUGGAAUCAACACAAGAUUAGAUCAGAACCUUGAUUACUAAUUAUUUAGUUAAUAAAGUUCAUAUGCCAUAAUGGUGUUGUUAUUUACAUGAACAUGCAAAAUACCUAUUCCUAAAUAUUCUUCUUAAAAUUUAAAAUUUUCUUAAGGUAAUCCAAGUCUGUGUUACAUCAGCCAUUACAAGAAUGACAAAUGAAUCCUAUUCUGAAGGACCGAGGCUAUGGAUGUCAAACGAAUUCUUUUCCAGUCUACAUAAAAUUAAGGCCUUAUGAAAUCUUUAAGUUAUUCCUGUGUUAGAAAAUAUUAUUUGUGUUAGAUAACAAAAUUAGUUCCAAUGACAUCAUUCAUUGGAUGUCAUUAUAAAAUUUAAAUGCAUAUUCUACAUUAAUGGCAUUCAGGAAUAAUUCAAAUUCACGAAAGAAAAUUUCGUAUUUAUAAUUUCCCUAGAAAUCUCUAGUUCAGACGUUGGAUUGAGAUGAUCGUACUAUUGAGGCAUAACAAUAAGAAUUAAGCACCCCACUUUUUUUCUAUUGCUUCUUGUAACCCAAAAAAAAAAAUUGCUAUUGCUACAAACCUAAAAGCCAUUGCAAGUAACCGUCAGUCAAAAAAUCCCCCUCACAGCGAAGUUCACAUUACGAAACAAUUUUUACUAACCGAGGCCAAACCAUAUAUCAAAAUUUUCAGGAUUUUGAUUUUGAAUAUCUCAUUUUCAUGUUGGGUUUUAUUAUUAAAUCCACAUAUGUCAAAAACUAAUUCAUGCUAUCAUUUCUUUAUUACUUUAUUAAUUUGUUGUAAGCCAUUUUGAAAUUGGAGCAAGAAUGCCUACAUGUGUGUGUGUGUGUGUGUGUAGGACAUGCAAGAACUAAAGAUGUUUCAGUUAAUUAUAUGACACAGCUGAACCUUUUAUUUAUAGGUCCUGACUUUUAGCCUCUCCCCUAACUUUUGUUCAUGUUUAGGUUAAUUGCACUUUAAAAUGGUUACAGCUUUUUCUUUGAACUAGCAAUUACAUCAUUCAUAUUUUGAAUUUAUUCUACAUAAUCAUCUCAGAAUGUGUCGCAGGAAGUGAUCUUUAAUUUGAUUAAAAUUAAUUAGCUCAUUCAAUCAAUUAAGUUACGAAAUUUUAGUAUAUUCUUUCUCAUAACACUGAGUACUAAGCAAAAGAGGCUGUCCGACUUUCCAUGAUCUGUUAUGGAGUAGACAGGAAGUGCUUCUGCUCUUUUUAAAGGAGACAUUAAUCUUCGGAUUUCAGAAAUGCAUAAUUAUGUGAGCUUCUUAUUUUUUACCAACAUUUCGUUGAAUGAAGGAUUUGUGUGGCAAAUAUCAAAAUCAAACAUUUGGGAGAUCAAAAAGUAGGUUUCUCUUGGGCACCUUAAAAGUACCUUAAACUUAGCUCUUGACUGCCAAUGGCGAUGCAAAAUUCUCCAUAUAAUUUCUUAAUUAAUCAAAUCAAUCCUUUUAGCAAAAGGUUACUACCGGUGCCCUCAAGACAUUCGUUAACAUGCUAAGUAUUCACCUAACCUAUUAUAUAUGUAUACACACACACGCACACUAACAAUUGCUAUCCAUCCUUACAUUUAUAUACUUUUUCUAUUUAAUCUUACCUACCAUCCCUUUUAUUUAUUUAUUUUUUCUAAUUAAUCUUGUAUUUUCAAAAAUGUAACACCUAAACUAUAUAUUAACGAAUAGCCUAUGGGCACCCAUUAAAUAGUACGUUAAAAAGAUACCAAUCAUAAUUUAAUCCAUGGUUUCCAAACAAUGAUUAAAUUUAGUGCUUAAUUUAUGCAAACAAUGCAAGAUCUUUAUGAGUAUACAACAAUUAAUUCUAGCUCAAUCCACUCAAAUACGUAGUAAUAUGGUUCUACAAUGUACAGUAGUAAAGAACAAACUGCAAAAUACAUAUAGAGUAAAUUGUAGUUUCGUCACAAUUUUGAGUCCAUUAUGAACACAAGUACAAGAUUUAUAAAAAUAAGAUGUCUAAACAAUAUUAUUCCAAACAAAAAUAGACGUGUAUGUUGUAUAGACUAUACUACAUUGGCUAGUUCCUGACAUUAAAUGGUUUUAGGAGUUCUUUUAGAGUAUUUUGAAAAAGAAAGCCACAGAUUUUUUUGUUGUUGUUUUAAUACCUCAAUUUCCAUAUUCUAGUUGAUGCCAAAUUAAGAACCUUUUCUUAAAGUUAAUUUAAGGACAUUAAGGGCAAGUCACCAAACGAAGGAGUAUAUAUAUAUUUAAUUUUUUUUCUAAAAAUUGAGGGAUGGAAUUUAAAAAACGAGAAAGGAAUGGAGGAUUUGAAGUCAAAACUUCUAAUUCUUGGGGUGAUAUUUUUCUUUGCGGAGGGAUAGCAAAAGCACCAAAAUGUCGGGCCACAGCAAAAAAAGAAAAGAAAAGAAAAUAAAAUAAAAUGCCUCAAGGAUACAAAACUUGUCAGCAAAUUGGUGAGGAGCUAAUAUUUUUCCCCCCAAAACAAAAAAAAAAAAAAGUACUUUAAGGUUUAUAUCGCGCAUGACUGCAUAUGGGCAAUCUGUAAGCUAUCCGGGCUUUACGUAGCUUUUUAGCUAUAUGCUAUUUUGGUACGUAAGGAAACAAGUUCUUGCUUACACAAGUAGGCUUGGUUGGUCGAUAUGUGUCUCGAUUAUGUACGAAGGUUCUUCUUUACACCAUAUUGGAGAAAACAUUCCAAUAUCUUGAUUUGAUGUUCAUGAAAACGUCAAACUUUACUUUUUCUCAUGAGCCAAAUAUUGCAGAGAGAAAAGCCUAGAUUGUGCUUUAUCUUUCACAUAAAAAUAUGCAACCAAAAAGAAAAAAAAAAAAAAAUUCUCUCUUGCUUCAUCAUGAAGAUUUCGUCCAUAUAUACUAUUAUUCCCAUGAAACAAAGAUACCCCAAUACCAACAAUUUGGAGAAUCUUCAAAAAUCAAAGUGACAAAAGUUUAGCACAAGACGUAUAUAAAAAAAAGAAGCUAGGCAUACAGCAUGGAUAAUGAUAAGGGAAAAAGGGUAUCACCAGGUAUUGUCCAAAAGAAGAAUUUUUGUUACUUGUUGUCUUUCUUUUAUUUUUCUACAAUUAUUUUCUUCUUUUCAAAGGUGAUCAUCAUGGGGUCAAAAUCAUUUUUUUUGCCUUUUCCCCUUUAUCUUUUUCUUCAAGGGCCCUGCCAACAAAGUUGUCUCUUGUCAAUUAUACGGAAAGAGGUCUCUAGCUUGUUCUUGGACAUGGCUUGUCAUAAUUUAACUGGCUGAUUCUUUUUGUUCUUUUUUUUUUUAAGUUUACAUUUAUAUAAUGGACUUAAUUCAGGACGAAAAACUUCAAGGAGUUAACUUGGAAAAUCUACCAAAAAAUUACGUAAAAACCAAGAAGCAAAAUAAUUUAGUUGCUCCAUUUGAAGCAAUUUGACUCCGAAAGUUCCAAGAAAAGGGAAAGGAAAAAAGAGAAAUUCAUCACUCGGGAAAGAGGUACGAGUAUUACUGUUAAUGCUAAAAAAUAAGUAAGUUCCAAACGAUUAGUGAAAAAAGAAGAAUAUAUUAACAACAAUUUCUUUUCUUUCCUAACCAACCUUGGGAAAUCUUUACGAUUAAUGAAGAUUUUUUCUUUUCGAAAAUCAAUAAUCUAAUAGUAGAUGCUGUGCAUGUCAAAGUUCCAUGAAGCAAUAAUGUCAUAUCAUAGAGAAAUGAAAAAUACAUAAAGAAAAAAAGAAAAAGACUAAUCUAAAAGAUCUCUCUCUCUCUCUCUCUCUCUGAGUAACAGGAACAAAACUUCAACUUAAGCUUGCUACUACCCAUGAAGUGUGGACUAUAUCUUGAGAAUAGAAACGAGUGGCUUGAACUAAAAAUUAUGGAAGAAAAAGGCUAGUGAUUCGAGCCAAGGGAACAAAGCUGUCUCCCUUGUACUGGAAUAUGAAUACAAAUGGGAAGGAUAAACAUAUACCCAUAUUCUUUCUAGCUUGUUGGGAUGCUUGGUCUCCUUGAAAACUCCACUUUCGGUAGCAGUAUAUAUGCAAUAUCCACGGGUGGUUCAAGACUAGUCCAUUACUAAUAUAAAUCAACAAUCUCUUGAGAAGCUACAUAGGAGAUGAAGAAAGUUUCUUGGGAUUUUAAUCAAACUAUCACCCCAAAGCAGAUGUUUCUGUUAAUUUAAUUUAAUUUUCAUACUCGCUACACCUGCUAAUACCACCAUUACCAGUUCUUAGGCUUGCUAUUAUGGUAUAAUGAUAAUACACUUGUAAUUUAUCUACCUAAUUAAUGCAUCUCUGGCCAACAAAUUAUAAAAUGUAUUGUAGGAUUUUUAAAUUUUAAAUCUCAUGUUUUUGUAAUAAAGGUACUAAUUAGCAACUUACCUAACAGGUGCAAACACCGUUCCCAAGUGCAUUGCAUGGGUUAAAAUGGGUGUACACUCCAAAAAAUGUUCAAAGUGCUGCAAUCAAAGUUCAUCAAAAUGACAGAAUACCACACAAUUGGGAGCCAGGGAGGGAAAGGGGUUAUGGCAUUUGCUGAUGAGCCAUGUACCUAUUGCCAUUCACGGGUAUUAUUUAUUUUAAAAGAAUUCUGCUUUCAUCCACUCAAAGCCAAGGUUUAUGCCCUAUUUCAACCAAAAAGAUGUUGAGAUCAAGCUGGUUAUUUCAAAACAAGUUUUGGAUAGGAAGGGGGAAAUGAUCUCAUUUAUCAUUAAAAAUGGGUUCUGGCUUCCAAUAUCUUCAAUAAUUGAUGUCAGAGACGCAGUCAAAUUCUUGUUCAAAAUGUUUUCGAGGUGCAUGUAUUUAAUUGUGAGUACAAUUUAGUUUUCAAAUUAAUGUGUGUCUUUUCUAAUAUUGAACAACUUUAUCUCUGUUGUAGAACAUUUUAUAACAAGAAUGUGAAAACCUUCAGCAGAAGUAAAAACAGGCUUAUGGAUUACAGAAUAACAGCAAAUGUGCCAUUUGACAAAAUAAUAAUACUAGUAAUAAUAAUACUAGUAGUAAUAAUAAUAGUAAUAAUAGUAUUAAUAGUAGUAUUAAUAAUAGUAGUAAUAGUAACAACAGUAGUAACAGUAGUAAUAGUAGUAAUAAUAGUAAUAAUAAUAAUAAUAAUAAUAAUAAUAAUAAUAAUAAUAAUAAUAAUAAUAAUAAUAAUGAUAAUAAUAAUAAUUGGGUCAGAGCGCCAAGUGGAUAUUUAUUAUGAUAUGGUUCAGGUAUUGAUUAUUUUAAGAUAUAAAAAUAAAUAUGACAAUGUAUAAAUAGAAAAAAAUAA